UUGGAACUCACUUUCAUACAUACACUUUGAGCUAUAAUUCCUUUUUUAUUCAUGGUCUUCCAAUUCAUGUACAUAAGGUUCAAAGGUCACUAAACAUUAUUUUUACAAUUACAUGGCUUCACUUUACAUCACUUUGUGUCAUUACAAAUAUAUUACAAAGAUUUCAUACACAAAAGAAUAAAAUUAAUUCCAAACUCUUCAAUAGUCUUCAUUCAUACUCCAUCUUUGACCAUGUGUGUUCAUGCUCCAUUACCAUGUACCAUGUUCCAAAGAAAAUAAUAAAAGUAAGUUAGAUAUUACAUUCAUUUUAAAAAAUUCAGCACUUACAUAACAAAAAUUCAACAUCAUUAGCAUUUCCAAAGUCAUUUUAAGUUCAUGUCAUUAAUCUCUAAAAUGCAACAUAUGCACAUACCUUCACAUCAUAUACAAAGUCAUUAAAAACAAGACAAAGUCAAUAAAAAUUCUGCAUGUUAUGCAUGUACCAUGAAUAAAGUCCAUGCUAUGUAUGAUUAUUAUUCCACUUCUAUACAAUAAGUCAAAACCAUUAAAUCAUGUGCAUUAAAAGAAAAAUUCAGCAUGCAUGUAACACAUUAUUUCAUUCAUGAACACCAAUCCAAAUGUAUCUAUGAGUCAUUCAUUCAUACCGUGUAAAUACCCAAACAUGUAUUCAAGUAGUGUCAUGUAAAUUCAUCCAAUUUUCUUCAUAUUCACUAAAAAUUCAGCAUAUACACAUACAUGUAAAUUCACAUACAUCCAUGCCUUAACCACCCUAACUACCUUAAACUUCCAUAAACUAACUUCUAACUACUUCGGGCAAUUGCCCAAAGUGCCCAAAACAGCCCCAACUAAUUUCUAACUAAUUUUCGACCUCUAAUCAUCCCUCACUUAGUUUUAUAUAAGCAGUCAUCAUUCACCAAUUAAAGAGAUUCUUCUCCACUUUUUGAUUCCACUCAUUCUUCACUUUCUCUCAAAUUUUCACUCUCCAUUCUCCAUUUUUCAACCUUUCCUCACUAGAGCUCAAAUCCAUGGUUGUUGAAGCUUCACAUUGAAGCUUCAAUAAACUUGAGCAUAAACCUUCACUACACUUGACACCAUAAUUUUUCAUGUCUCAGGCAUCGGAAAGUGGCAAAAAAAUCAACAACCACAAGAAAACAAAUGGAAGAAAAUAAAAAGGAUGAAAAAGGGAUGAAGAGGAAUUGAAGAACCGUUUACCGUAUUGAAUUUGGGUCGCCAUUGAAGAACCAUCGGAGGGUCUCCGAUCAGUAAGCCUCAAACUUUAUUUAUCAUUCUAUGAAUUCUUUGCUUGCUUGUGUCUUCCAUGAUUGCUUGCUUGUUUGAGUUAUCUUUGCAUGCUUGUUUAUGUAUUUGCCUUUCUUUUCAUCUUGUGUGGAUGAUUACCGCGAGAAUACAAACCUUGCCAUGAACACAAACCAUAGAAAAUUUAACAUCUUACCAAUACCAAAUCAAAAUCCGAUUAAAAAAUCAUAACCAUUAGAGAAAUCAUUCGUAAUCCAAAACAGUGAGAAAAAGAAUCCCUAAACACAACCGAAACAAGGCAAAAAGAUGAGAAACUUGGGCCAAGCAUUUUACCGAACACUUGGUGUGCGGUUGCAAAACAUCAAAUAUGUUAACCAAUUCACCAAGCGUAAAACCGAAAUACCAACACAUAAACCAAAGUUAAAUUGCACAUAGAAUUAAGCUAAGAAAAAAAAUGAUGCUGAGUCGAAACAAAAAUUGAGACGUGCACUGAUUCAAAAUUGAAUUGAAUCAAACUUACCGGAACCGAAACACAAACUGAGUUGAACAAAUUCGAACCAAAUUGCGAAAACAUAAUUGCAACCCAAAGCCAAACUUCGAAUUGAAACAAAACUCUGAAUCAGAACCAAUCCAAUGCUGAAUCGUGACUCGAAUUCGAACCAAGCUUUAACCGUAAUGUUGAGCCAAAACCGUGAGAGUUCCGAGCAAGUUAGUUCUGGUUUGGCGUUCAAAAAUUGCGUUUCAAAUAAGUGCUUGUGUGAAACGCGAUUCUGAACUUUUUUUGUCAUGUUGCGCGAUUCCGCCUUUGCUUCCCACUUGCGUUUUACGGUUUGGAGCUUUUUCAUGCAUACUGUCAUAAGCUUUACUCUUAUUCCUUAAACUCAUUUUGCGGUUGGUGCUGACUUUUCAACUUGAAAAAUUCAGCAAAGCAACCUCUUUUCUUUAAGGCUAAUGCUAAGAUAUGGCCUUGAGAUAAGUUAAUUAUUUAUUUAUAAAAAUAUUUUUUUGGAAUACGCGCAUUUCAUUUUUUGAAAUUUAAAACAUUGUUUUAUUCUAUAUAAAUUUUUUAAUUGUAGUAUCUUUAACUUAUGCCUUAAGGACACAAAUUAGCAAGACCAUUUCUUUAAGGUUAAUACUAACAUUUGCCUUUGGGACACAAGUUAAUGAUUUAUUUGUAGAAAUAUUCUCUUGAAAUACGUGCAUUUAAUUUUUUGAAACUUAAAAUAUUAUUUUAUUCCACAUAAAUUUUUUAAUUGUAGUAUCCUUAACUUGUGCCUUAAGGGCACAAAUUAGCGAGACAAUUUCUUUAAAGCUAAUGCUAACACGUGCCUUUGGGGCACAAGUUAAUGACUUAUUUGUAGAAAUAUUCUCUUAGAAUACGUGCAUUUAAUUUUUUGAAACUUAAAACAUUAUUUUAUUCUACAUAAAUUUUCUAAUUGUAGUAUCCUUAAUUUGUGUCUUAAAGACCCAAGUUAACGAGACCCUUUCUUUAAUUACUCUUAGUUGUUAACUUGACCCUUUCUUUAAUUACUCUUAGUUUUGUUUUCUAAAUUUUUAUGAUAAUGUAACUACACAUACACUUUACAACAUACACUACAUGUUAAUGCACUGCUAUAAUCUUUUUCCAUUAUACUUAUAUCAUUUUUUUCCUUUUUUUUUUGUUAUCAGUUAAUAAUGUCACAUGACACUAGCCUUGAUUAGAAAUUGACUUUAACUAUGAAAAUAAUUAUAUUCUUCCCCUUUUCUCUAUCAUUUUUGUUUUAUUAUUGUUUCAACUUACCACAUGUCAAGUAUUGAUUGGUCAUUGAAUUGAGUUCUAGAAAAUAAUCCAAACACUCAUAAAUCUUAUCAUGUUCUUAUUACUUGUUUGAAUAUUAAUUGAGUUUCUUUGUUUAAAAUAUAUUUCUAUAUCAGACCUCACUAAUUAAUUUUACAUCUAUGUUGCUUUAUUCCUAAUUUUCUAAGCAUCGAAACUUAAUUAAAUAUUUGGGUUAUUAAUUGAUUAAUCGUUUUAUAUUAGUUAGUUUUUAUUCAUAAAAUGACUAAUUAAUUAAUUAAUAUCCUCUGCAAGCCGAUUAAUUUGAUCUAAUACAAAUUUGAAUGUUACGAUAAUUAGAAGUUGACGUUUAUCUUCAACCUUAAUUUUCUUCUCUUGAUUUCAUGAUUGAACUUACUUCUUGAAGUGAUUGCUUGACAAGUUGACCUUAUAUCUCGCAUAAUCCCCAUUUGUCUUUAUCUGCUUAAUUGAUAAAAUUUAUUUAGUCAAUUAAUUAGAUUAAUGACUUUAUGACUAUUUAAUUACUCCUUUCAAAACAAUUUACAUGUUCCCUUAGCUUAUGGCUUAAAUUUGAUUUGUCUGAUUUCAUAGGUUUAUCAUUAUACAUAGUUCAACUAUUAUUUUAAUCCCACUGAUUAGUGUUGACAAAAGAUCACUUCAGUUAACCAAAUCCUUUGAAUUACACUGUAAUCCCCAAGCCUAUUUCAAGUUAUCAAAAAACCCUUGAUCACUUGAUAUGGCAAGUUCAUUACGCUCAAGCUAUUGUGGAUAUGAUGAAUCUCAGGAGCUCAAGGCCUUAAGGUUCAAACGCAAGAUCAAGACUUCAAGGUCAAUAUCAGUCAAGCAUAGCUAGCAAAGUGGGUUACUUCUCAAGUACUGCAUAUGUAUCAACACUUGUCAAAUCAAAGUUAGAAUUGUGUGGCAUGAGCCUUAAGUAAUAGAGAAGGAAUGGGAUUGGAGAAUUCCUACCCCCAUUCUGAAUAUCUUUGGGUAUGGGACGAAUGACCCAGUGCUCAUCAUAUUCACCUCUAUUCAUAGAAUUUAGCACAAUUCAAAUCAUACGAUUAGCAAGUCUUUCUUCACAAAGCAUUAGUUCAACAAACAAAGACUAAACCAAUAACUCAUUAAUCAUAAUUCAAAGUGUGUGGCACGAGCCUUAAGAAAUAGAGAAGGGAUGAGAUUGGAGUUUUCCUACACUCAUUCUGGAUAUCUUUGGGUGCGGGACGUUUGGCAUGUGGCUCAUCAUAUUCACCUUAUUCAUAGACUUUAGCACAAUUUGAAUUACAUGAUUGUCGAGUCUCCUUCUACAACAAAUGACACUACAUCAAUAGGACCAACACAAAGGAUCUCAUGUCAACAACUUGUUAAUUUUGAUUCGAGUUGCAUGUUAUGAGCCUUAAGAAACAAAGAAUGAUGAGAGUGAAGAAUUCUUAUCCUUAUCUAAAAUAUCCUUGGGUACGGGACGAAUGACCCAGUUGCUCAAGGUAUUCGCCUUUGUUCAUAGACUUUAGUGCAAUUUGAAUCAUACAAUUGACAAGUCUUCUUCUUCGAGCAAGCAUCAUAUCAUUCAACACUUUAAUAGUGAAACACCAUUGCACAUCAAUCAUUUCUUACUCAGUGAAUCAUUAAUCAUACUAUCUUUGACAUUCAGAUAUCCCUUGGAUCAAUUCCCUUGUAACCAAGUCUUUAAAAUCCUGAUCAAUCAACUUAAUCUUUGUUUGCCUUGUCAGUCCUCUCGUGCCUUGGCAAACCCCUUAAUCAUUGUUCGUCUUAUAAGACCUCUCGUGCUUAGACGAAGCUCUUUCCUUAUAAAUCCUCUCGUGUGUAGGCCAAUCAUUUCAUAAUCAUUGUUCGUCUUAUAAGACCUCUCGUGCUUAGACGAAGCUCUUGCCUUAUAAAUCCUCUUGUGUGUAGGGCCUUAUAAAUCCUCUCGUGUGCAGGCUAAUCAUUUCAUUAUCAUUGUUUGUCUUAUAAGACCUCUCGUGCUUAGACGAAGCUCCUGCCUUAUAAAUCCUCUCAUGUGUAGGCCAAUCAUUUCAUAAUCAUUGUUCGUCUUAUAAGACCUCUUGUGCCUAGACGAAACUCUUGCCUUAUAAAUCCUCUCGUGUAUAAGUCAAUCAUUUCAUAAUCAUUGUUCGUCUUAUAAUACCUCUUGUGCUUAGACGAAACUCUUGCCUUAUAAAUCCUCUCGUGUAUAAGUCAAUCAUUUCAUAAUCAUUGUUCGUCUUAUAAGACCUCUCGUGCUUAGACGAAACUUUUUCCUAAUAAAUCCUCUCGUGUAUAGGUCAAUCGUAUCUCACUUGUCCUUGUGGUUGAUUACCAUCAUUGGUUAGUACCACAUCCCUGCUUGUUAAGCAAUUUGCCUCAGAGAAAUCCUAUCGAAUCUCUCUUUGUUUUCAGCCGUAGCCGGCUGAACUACAAUUGCUCUGAUUUUCUCAUUGCACGAUGAGAAUACGUAGGCACGAGGGUUCGAAUCCUCCACGAGCAUACUUAUUUAUUACUCCUUAUGCCUUAGGGAACUUCAUCCAUUCAUCUCCAUGGAUCAUUAAUCACAACCUCCAUUCAUAUUCUACAUUCCUUCACUUCAUGUUAUAUACCCCAUUCUUUGAGCCGAAUACAAUAUACCUUUGAGUUCCAUCUUGUAUCUGUGUGAACCAAGAGGCGAUUUGUUUGUCUUAUAAGUCCUCUCAUUGCUUAGACGAACAUAUCCUUACUUACUUUGCAGUUGUAUACAUGCAAUCCUUCUUUUUCGGUUAUUCCAAUACAGUGUUGUAGGCCCUCACUUGUUGGUUCACACCAAUUUACUCUUGGGUUCAUAUCUCACCCCUUUUUUGGAGUUCAAACAACAUUAUUCUUUGGAUUAUGCCAUAUUGUCUAUCAUAAUUCUCUUCAUCUCCCACCACUAGUUCUUUGAACUACAUAGAUCUGAAUUCCUCAUUGCACUAUGAGGAUACGUAGGCAUGAAGGCCCUAAUCCUCACCGAGCACUCUAUCUAUUUCUUUUCUUUUUUCCCCAUCCUUUUGCGAGUAAUCUUUAGAUAUAGCACCUAUUCGAGCGAUACCAAUCAAAACGGUUCCCAUGGAGUACCAUGGAUGUUUGGGGUGCUAAUACCUUCCCCUUGCAUAACCGACUUCCUUGCCCAACAUAUCUAUUUUCCCCGGGUUUUAUCGAUGUUUUCCCUUUCCUUCUGAAAUAAAUAAAGUUCGAUGGCGACUCUAUUGCAUAUUCGAGCGUGCGAUACGUUCAGGUAUAUUUCCGUUAGCUUUAGUAGGCAUGAGGGCCAUAAUCCUCACCGGGCACUUUAUCUAUUUCUUUCUUUUUCCCUCCAUUAUUUUGUGAGUAACCUUUAGAUAUAACACAUAUUCGAGCUCGAACAAUCAAAACGACUCUCAUGGAGUGCCAUGGAUGUUUGGGGUGCUAAUACAUUCCCCUUGCAUAACCGACUUCCUUACCUGCAUAUCUCUUUCCCCGAGUUUCAUCGAUAUUUUCCCUUUCCUCCGGGAAUAAAUAAAGUUCGAUGACGACUCUGUUGUUUGUUCAAGUGUGCGAUGCGUUCGGGUAUACUUCCGCUAGCUUCAACACCUAUAAUUUCAAAUAAUAAUAGUUGUUAAAAAAUAACAUCAUUAGUAAUUAUAACAUACAAUAAAUUACGAAUGAGGAAUAUAAAAUUCUUACUUUUUAAUUUUUGCAUAUGCCUUCUUGAUGAUCGUUACGAAUAACAUGCACAUCAUCUCUAUAAACUUCUUCAUAUGAAUUAGACACGUGUGUUGCAUAAGAAGAAGUGGAAGCAAUAUCAAAACUUUCAUCAUCACUAGGAGAAGUAUGUUUUCCUUUGAGAAUAAUUGACCAUAUCCUCGAAAAGUCCGUAGGAUUUGUCACAUAAAAACUUGUUUUGCUUGAGUAGCUACGAUGUAUGAUUCGGUGUUAUAAGCUACCUUGCCAAGAUCAAUCCAUGUGAAUCAUAACUCAUAAAUUUGUACACCAUUGUUAUUGGAAACCCACUUGUAUUUAAAUAAAGGUACUUUGAAAAUAACAUAAUCAAUCUUCAAAAUCUCCUCAAUGAAACCAUAGAAUGCGGAAGUUGCCAAAAUUGGAUUCUUAUCUUUCAAACUAGAGAAAUACAUGGAUUCGGCCUCAACCAUAACCCCACUAUUUUGCAUUGUACUACAAACAUUUCUUGAUUUGAAUGCGACACUUUGAGGGUUUCUUCAUUGAAACUUGCUAGAUACUCUUUGAGCGAUUCCGAGUAUCCUUGUCGAAUAUUAAAUAAAUUGGUAGUCGACACUUUCCUAGGUUUACUUGCUAAAAAAUGUGUUACCGUUUUCUUAGUUAAAUCCUGGUAAUUGACUGAGCAUCCGAGUAAACUCAUGAACCAUCGCAGAGCACCCUCUUUAAAGGUCCCGACCAUAAGCUUACAUUUGAGUGAGUCAAAAGCCACUACUAUUACCAUUUGGUUAUUGAUGGCAAUAAUAUGCUCAUGUGGAUCAGUUUUACCAUUGAAAGAUACUAGCGAUAGUGACUUGAAGUUCUCUGGGACUUGAUCAUCCCAACUAGCUUCAGAUAAAGGUUGAGAAUUUAGAGGCUCCUCCUCUGCAUACCCUUUCUAUAGACGUUGUGUUUGCAAAACUUUGACACUAUCUUGCAAGGCUUCAUUUUUCUGACGAAGUACUUCCACCAUCACGAGCAAUUGAGUGAUAUCUGGCGGUAGAGGUGGAUCGCUUCGGCUAAGAGAUGAUCCUGACAUCGUCCAGCUGAAGUAUUAACACUUUUGAUGAUGGUUUUGUGUGGCUUGAGCAAGUUUACCGAGGCCCCACAGUGGGUGCCAAAUGUUCUUGCUUAAAACACUAAAAGGUUUACUUCCUUAUUUUCAAUCAAGAAGAGCCUAAAAUGAUUGGUUGGAGUGUCUGUUAUAUAUUUCUUAUCUCAUUUUUGCAUGUUUGUUACCCUCUAAGCAUUCUCCUAUUUACAUGUCUCAACCUCCUUCUGUCUUCCCCCAUUUUUUACUCUUUAUAUUCCUCAUAAAUACAUCUGCCAAUAACGUUGGCGCCCCUAUACUUGCUAUAUAACAUUUGUCUCUUCAAUAAUUAUAACUCCCUUGGUUUAAUGUAUCAUUUCAUAACUAUUUCAUACGAUCCUUCAAAUGUAAUUGUAACCUUGUCAUCAAAUCUAACCAGUAUGAACUAGAUCAUUCCCAACUUACAUGAGAUCGGCUCCGUCAUACUUAUUUUGAUACCUUAACCAGACUCUGAUUAGUAGAUGACAACACAGUAUCCGACCUGUUAGCCUCAUCAUACUCACUUAUCACCAACUUGACUUCAGAGAACUCAUGUAAACAAAUAGGCUUCAUCGAUCUUAUACCUCAAUUUUUCGGGAUGUACAAGUUUUAUUGUCGACCUUUCCCUCGACCCAUGCUUAUGGUAUUCCUUCCUGGGCCCAGAUCCUUCAUGCCUAGAUUGUGUCUUUCCUUAGCAUCCCAGGAUCUUUUCUCCUUAUUUCUUUCCUCCCCAUUGAUAUAACCUUCUUCUUUGUUCAUGACUCCCUCCAUGCUAGUGGCCGACUUUUGCAUCAAUGAGUCAUUGAAAUGGCCGGCCUUCAUGCCGUUUUGACAGGCCUUAUACAAACAUCUUUUGAUUUGGAUGAAAGACUUUUAUAGUCUCUUCAUUAAAACACGCCAUAUUUUCUCGGAGGGACUCAGAGGGUUCCUGGAAGACGUUGAAGAAGCUGGUUGUAGUCAUCUUUCUAUGUUUGCUGGCGGAGAAAUGUUGCACCAUCUUCAUGGUUAGAUCUUGGUAACCGGUAAUUGAUAAUCCAUGAAGACUCAUAUACCAGCGCAAUGCCACAUCUUUGAAUCUUCCCACCAUAAGAUUGCAUUUUAAGGAGUCAAAAGCCCCAACUAUUGCCAUUUUAUUGUUAAUUGAUAUUAUGUGCUCCUGAGGAUCACUUUUUCCAUCGAACGACGACAAAGAUAGUAGUUUGAAGUUUUCUGGGACUUGAUCGCCCAAAAUUAUCCCUGUGAGAGGUUGAGGAUCAAGGAGCUCCUCCCCUCUUAAUCUUCCUUAAUGUUUUGUGACUGCUGCGUUGUAUGGAAACUUUCCUGUAGAGAUUCGUUUAGCUUACAAUGAUUCUCCAUAAUUGUAAGGAGUUGUGUCAUGUCUGGUGGGGUGAGAGGUUCGCUCCUGCUAGGAGAUGAACCAGACAUUCUAUUACUCUGGUGAAAAUGUAUUAUUUUAUAAGGCUUGGGAAAGUCUUACCAAGGUCCCAUGGUGGGCGCCAAAUGUUCCUGAUAAACACAAUUCGGUUAAUCUCUCUGAGGCAAGUCAGGUGAGAUCACAAUCGUCUUGUCUGUAGGGGUAUUAGUUGUCUGUCUUUUCUUCCUCGUUAGGAAGCCCCUUUUAUACUUGUCAUGCCACCAAGGACCAUUUAAGGAAUGUCCCUUCAGAUCCCAUGUUUAAGUUAUCUUUGAUAACGUCCUCCGUCCUCUCUAACUCUUCUGUAACGUCUCGUCCAUCAUUUUCUGUAACCCCAUAAUAAUCACAGAGUUAUCUUGUAAUCAUCAUAGGUACUGUUCAUGUUGUCUUCUAACACCUUUCAAGAAAUCGGAUCUGACCUGAUCGUGUCGUCUACCAAUAUUCUUAUGGGACUGUGACCGACUUACUUAUGCCACAUAACUAUACUCCCUUUGUCCGAGAUCCAACUUGCUCAUACUUAUGUAGUUCGACAUAUUUGUUCCUCUCUACUCGGCCUCAACAACUCUAUCUUAGAAAUUUUAAAAUAUCCAAAUAACAGUUUUGUAAUAAUUUUCACAAUAAAUCUCAACAUUUGUUUAAAAUAUCUUUUAAAAAAAUAGGGAAAACACACUAACCGGUAGUUACCAGAAGUAAAAGUAGCGUUUCACCGUGGUGAAAAAAUCUUCCAUGACCUACCUAUAAACUUGUGUAGUACUAGUACUUGGGGUACUUACGACAUACAACAACGUCAUUACAUUGCUCGCGAGGUUAACUUUAAGGUUAUUUCAAUUCCCCAGAUACUAUUCAAUUUCUCUCUAAACUCUUUCAUUUUUCCGGUAACCAUGGCCACCACCGACCUAAUCCAGAACGGAACUUUACAAUUUCAACCACCAGUCGAACCAAUUUCCGAUGCCGUCAACACUUUGACGACUGACGAAACGGAUUCCGAAGAGAAGAAAUGGCCCGGUUGGCCUGGUCACUGUGUUUUCCGGCUGGUUGUGCCGGUCCUUAAAGUCGGGAUCAUAAUCGGUCGCAAAGGGGAGCUUAUCAAGAAGACUUGCGAAGAGACUCGUGCUCGGAUUCGUGUUCUUGAUGCUCCACUUGGUACUCCUGAUCGAAUUGUGAGUUUCCCUUUUCAUUACAAUUUUUUAGGGUUUUAAAGUUCACUUCAUAUUAUGCUUCACCCGUAGGGACACAAAAUGUUGCUGAAUUUAGUUUGUAUUAUAUAUAGCUUGCACCUUUUGUUGUAGCUAGUAAAUCGCCAAAGUGAAUAUUUAGUUUAGUUUCAUGAGGAUAUUACUAUUAUUUGGGUAUCUUGUCUGAUCAAAUUGUUAAUCUUGCCUUCCAUUACUCUCUUGUUAGGGUUUUAUUUCCCCCUUUGCUUUGUCAAGACCACUUCAUGUACAUGUAAGGUACACUAAUUGAUAACUCUACCGGUGCGGCCCCGGUCAGAGUCGCAAGUAUGACUGAGUCUGAGUCGUAUUACUGCAUUCUUUUUGCAGUGGUUUUGGUCUGCUCCAUAUUUAAGACCCAUAGAGACCAUUAAAGAAGAUUGUCUCCUUUUGAUAGGUCGUAAUGGUGUCUUAAUUGCCAGAUUCUCAGCCAUGUCCCUAAGUCGCUCAUACAUGCAAUUUCCCUUGCUCCUUAAUUUGAAUACCCCCUUCAUGUUGGUUCUGGGCUGGCCUGAUCGACUUGGCCUGUUAGUUUGCCUAGCUCGGCCAUGCCUUGUUGGAUAGGUUCGAAAUUGGGGCAAGUUCUUCCGAGUUCGGGUUUAGACCCGGCCCAAACUACCGGAUUGUACAUAGUCCCUCAAGCAUGAGGCUUGUAACUAUGAGAUGCAUUGUGGGCAAAUACCAGAUUGUAUAUAGUCCCUCAAACAUGAGAUGCUUUGCGGGGAGAAGACCGAAUUAUACGCAGUCCUUCAAGCAUGAGAUAUGUAAGAGCGAAAUGCUUUUGGUGGGAGAUCAGGUGAAAGACUGGAAUGCCUCAGGCCUCCUAAUUUGAUUAUUCUUGCCUUGUAAUUUUGGGCUGGAAGAAUAGACUUGGCUUGUUAACUUAAAACCAUCCGGCUUCCGUUUCUAAGGCUAGCUAAGGUUCAGGGGGGCUACAACCCCGACCCAAAAGAGAUCGGAUAUGUACCCUUCACAUUUAGCUUCACCUAAUGGUUUCAUUUUCUCAUCUUACUUUUAUUUAAUGCUUAUAUUAGCGACAGUGAUGUAAUUUGAUUUUCAAUUUGCUUUCAUUUUAACUUUGUUUUUAUACUAGUGGAGUUUCUUUGUAGGAUUUAUAUGACUUGACAAAAAAAUGUUGCUGAAUUUCGUACGUAAUAUAUGUACAACUUGCACCUUUCAUUGUAGUUAGGAAAUUUCCAAAGUAAAUAUAUAGUUUAGUUACUUGAGGAUAAUACUUUUAUUUGUGUAUCUUGUCCAAUUUAGUUUUUAAAAUGGUUUAAAUUUUGAUUUUAGGUGCUUAUUUCGGGGAAGGAAGAUUUGGAGGCACCUCUUUCACCUGCAAUGGAUGCUGUAAUAAAGGUUUUUAAACGUGUAUCCGGAUUAAGUGAAACUGAUGACAAUAAUACAACAUCAGGAGUUGCAGGGGCUGCAUUUUGUUCCAUCCGUUUAUUGGUGGCCUCAACACAAGCUAUCAAUUUGAUUGGAAAGCAGGGUUCGUCGAUUAAAACUAUACAAGAAAAUACCGGUGCUUCUGUUAGAGUUUUGGCUGGAGGUAUGCUUGAUGUCAUUAUUCCCUUUAUUUCUUGAUAGCAGCUAUUGACUCUGCGUGUUUUUUAUUCUUAUUGACUAAUGUUUUUUAACGUGUUCAGAAAUAUAUCUUUAGCCGCUAGUGUUUAGUUUAACUGGAUUUCUAUUAAAUACGCUUGAUAUGAUUUUUGUCUUCCCAUUGCUUUACCUAGUAUGUAGAGGCCGAGUUCUUAGGUGUGUUGAUGUUUUGCCUCAGCUACAUGCAACUUUGAGUGGCUAUUUUUGAACAUUUGUGAUGAUAGUUGUGUAAGAGAAAAUGCCGGCCAUUAUGGUUUGACGUGUUUAUCAUACUAUACUUUUCAUUAUACUCUAUCUUUCUCUUAAUUAUGUUGUGUUACCAAUUGCCUCUCUUUUGAGCCUAAUUUGUUUGUGGACUUCAAUUUGUCUUGGAUCAAUAAAUCAGGCAAAACUCUUCCAAAAUAAACUGAUUUCUACAACGAGUUUAAGUGACAAUGUGUCUCCCCUAGAUUUAUUUUAAAGUGCAACAUGAUCUUUCUCCUUAAAAUUGGAAAUUCAAGGGUCAAUUCAUCAUUGCUCAUAUUAACGACAAACUCACUAUAAAAAAGCUUUUUCCUAAUAGUUUUGUCUUUGUUUUUUAUUUUCCUGCAGAGAGUGUGUUUUCAUUUUAUUUUAUGUUAAUAUUGAGUAGUUAUAUGAGACAAGAUAAGAUUAGGCAUGCAAUCAUUACAGAGAAAAUUAGUGCAGUUCUAUCUUUGUAGGAAAAACGGGAGAGUAUUAUUGUCUUAGGUGGUUUGGGAAUGAUUGGAAAAGACCCAUAGAAAAGUUUGUUAAGAUCGGGAUCUUGCAUAAGAUUGGGAGGGAAUAACAAGAUUGUAAAAUAUAAAAUCGUAGCUAAGAUCGAAAGGUCCUACUAAAAUGAAAAUAUAAUGUUAUAUGUUUAAAGUAUUUUUACAUGAUAUAUUUUAGAGGUAGAGGGAGAUCAAGAGAAACUAUAGGUCAAACCAUAGAAUGAGAUAUAGAGGUAAACGAUUUGUCUUUGAAUCAAUACAGAAAAGGCCAUUAUGGUGUUGCUUAAUCCACAUUGGCUAGAUUGUUUAUUUGUACUUCAUUUAAUUUUUGGGUUCAAUGAUUGAAGUUCUGAUGAAAAACUCGUGUCCCUGACAGAGGAGCUUCCAUCGUAUGUCGGUGCCGAUGAGAGGGUUGUGGAACUGCAGGGUGAAACUUUAAAGGUCCUUAAAGCUCUGGAAGCAGUAGUUGGGCACCUGAGGAAGUUUUUGGUUGAUCAUAGUGUUCUUCCCCUAUUCGAGAAAACGGUAAGUUUGAUAAUUAACCACUUUUUAUUUAAGUGUAAAAGCCAUCCUUUCUGAUUUUACUGUAUAUGUUCUUGACACUAAGAUAUGCAAAUCCUUUGUUUUUUGUUCAAGUCCAAUGCAACAAUCUCACAAGACCGCCAGAUAGAUGCCUGGGCAGAGAAACCAUCACUGCGUAGUGCUUCACAACCUAGCACUGUUGUUGAUAUUCCUCCUUCAACAAAAAGGGAUUAUUUCUUUGCUGACCGUGAAAGUCAACUGGAUUCAUUGCUCUCUUCCUCGACAAUGUCAUAUGGACAAGAUUCUUCAAUUUCUGGUCUUCGUUCUUCGGCAUUUAAUCGUGCCAGUGCUUCCAUUGUUACUACAGUAAGCAUUUUUAUACUUUUACCAACUGUUUAAAAAUAGUCAUGUAUUUGUGACAAAUAUUGUUGUACUUUUACCGAACUGUUCAAAAAAUAAUCAUGUAUUAUAAUUAUAUACCGAGUGUUUAUGCAAGGCAUUUUAUUUGUUUUACUUCGUGUCAUCCAAAUUUUAUACCCCGUGAUUCGUUUUGAUUUAUUAUUCCCCCCAUCAGGUAAUACAAACAAUGCAAAUACCACUUUCCUAUGCAGAGGACAUAAUUGGUGUUCAUGGGACUAAUAUUGAUUACAUCCGCCGUACUAGUGGUGCCAUAUUGACUGUGCAAGAGAGCAGAGUGCCAGAUGAAAUCAUUGUGGAAAUAAAAGGCACCUCCUCUGAAGUUCAAACAGCACAACAAUUGAUUCAGGUAGAAACUUGGGCAUAUGAAAAAGUUACAUUUUUUCUGUUGCUUUUCUGUUUACGAGUCGAUGUUCGAAAAAAUAGAUUAUCAAGUCAUUUUUGCUGAUGGAAAUGUGUUUCUCUGUUACAGGAAGUCAUAGCUAAUCACAACGAAACUAUGGCUAGUAGUUAUGGCAGGUUAGAUUCAGGACUGAGGUCUUCUUACUCCCACUUGAACAACUCUUCAUAUCCCUCAUCUUCGUUGCCAUCGCAAUCCUACAAUGGAUAUGGAUCUUCUGGUCUAGGGGACUAUAGUACUUUCAGACUUUAAACUGGUCUUAAACAAGGAAACAGUCUUGAGCCAAGUUGUCCCAGUUGGGUCUGAUUGGAGAGAAUUAAUGCUGGAAUGAAUUCUGUAUCAACAAAAAGCAUUUUUUUAUUGUAUCUGAUAUGUCAUCAUUUGAUGGUGUAGUUUUUAAAUGUGGUCAAUAGGUACAAUGCAAUAGAAAAUGUAAUGAAAUAUUAAGUUAUUAACCAUUUUUCUGGAUGUUCAGUUUGGUAGUGUACAUGUGCAUGGGUUUAAUGCUUAACCAUAAGACCCAUGGUGGUUUUGAAACUUGUAUUUUAUAUGUUUUGAAGUUUGCACAGCCAACUACUAUUUUAUAUCUAUGCUUAAAUUUCGACUGAGUCUGUUUAUUUUAUCGUCCAACUUUUUUCCUUCAAUGAUUAAAAGAAUGAUAAUACACUGGAGAUGAUCAAAGCACCAGGAGUGAUAGACAACUUUGAAAAGAACAAACAAAAAGAAAGACAAAAAUCUAAAAACAAUCAACCCACCUUGAUCUUAGAAGAGCAAUUUCAAGAAAAAAGAAUGGAUCUAUUUGCCACUUUGAAAGAACAAUCAUCAAAUAAAAAGAAUAACAAAAAUCUAAAAACAAUCAACCCACCCUAAUCUUAGAAGAGCAAUUUCAUGGAAUAGAAUGAGAAAUACAUGAUCUUAGAAGAGCAAUUUUACAUAAAAAGAAUGAAUAAAUUAAUCUUAUUCAUUGGUUCAUCUUGUUAAAAAAGAUAAUCAUUUUGCCAUUUUUAUAGAGUUCAUACUAUACGACUUAAAUCAAAGUCAAGUCCAAAGACAUUAUUCUUAUCCCCUAGAAAUCUAAACAACAUACAAGACUCCCUUGACAACAACACCUAAAAUUUCUACCACAACACUCUAGUUAGACAUGACAAAAUAGGUCCUAUCUAUUGGAUAUGUCCGUUUUACCUACAUUUUUUUUAAACGGAUCAAAGUUUUAGUCUCACAGUUUCUAAUAUGUGUGUUCCGGCUCACUCUAUUUUUACGCAGAUGUGUACGUUAAUAUAAAUUUUUGCAAUCUUUUGAUUAAAAAAUUUCAUUUUCUGGUGGGGUGGGUCAAAGUUUUAAACUCGCACCCACAAAAUGCUCGCCCUACCUGCCCCUUAUUUUUGUUGGCUUUUGCAAAAUAGAUAUGCAUGAUUGUUACCCCUAAUUACAUUCAUCACCUCAUAGAUAGGGCUCGGGCUUUAUAGGGCCUGGUCAAAAAAAAUCGCUAUCUUAAUAUGGAGGAAUUAACCUGCCACCCCCACAUGUUUUCAUAAUUUCCAAACCGUCUAUGAAAAAAUUUGAGUCAAAAGUACGAACGAAAUUUCCGGUACAAAUUUUUUAUGUAUUUUAUCAUAAAUUUCAAAAAGUAUUGAAAUUUAUCGAAAAUUUUAAAAUUUUCGAUAAUAUAAUUUUUUUUUGAAAUGGUGUACAAUUUUUUUUUGAAAUUUUCAGAUAUUUUUUUUUAAAAAUUCCGGUAUUUUCUAUCGAAAAUUUUAGAAAAAUUUAAUAUUUUCUCAAAAUUUCUGAUAAACACAAUAGAAAAUUCCUAAAAAAAAUUAAUAAAGACAUAAAAUGUAAUAGUAGUCACAAUAUGGGGGUGUUAAGUUUAACUAUGAGAGUGACCGGUUAAUUCCUCUUUAAUAUGAGAUCAAACUAUAUAUCUCGAGUCUAGUUCUAUACGAAUUGCACGCUACCCCAUUUCUUUCUUAUUUUUUUAUGAAAAAAUAAAAUAAAAAUCUCAUAAUAUUCAUUAUAAAUACAAAGUAUAUUAUUUUUUUAAAAAAAUUAAGUCCUAUAUUAUUUAAAAAAAUAAAUACUAUAGCAUGUUUUUAAAUAAAAUACAAAUAUAAAAUUGUUUAAAAUAAUACACAAGUAUUUAACAAAUAACACAAAUUAAUAAAUAUGAAGUGAAAUAUGAAAUAAUUAAAUGUUGAUUUAAUUAUAUUAAUGUAUAAAAUUAACAUAGAACAAUUGAAUAGAAUUGAAAAGGUAAAACUAAAUGUUUUUGAGUGAGAUAAUAUAACUAUUAAUAUAAUUUUUAAAAUAUAAUUAUGAGGGUGAAAUGGGUUACCUGUGGUCAUAUAUGCUAGUCUUAUUGGAUAGUAGAGUUCAUUAGGUUGGGAUAAAAGAGUCUUUACAAAUUUAAGCUAUACUUUUUAGGUCUAAGAUCUAUGUUUUAGUGUGUUUGGCGAAACAAUCCAUAUAAACUAAUCUAUUUUGACGAAUUAAUUCACAAGGAAAAAAACAUGUUUAGUUGACUCCAAUUGAUUAUGACAAAAAAAUACAUGAAAUGUAAUCAUGGUUAAUAAUCACCUCACGCUUAAUAAUAUUUUCUCCUGUCCUAUCUUAAAAGAGUUGCUAAGAGAAAAGGAACACCUUAUAAGGGACCCAACUCUUCUAAAUCAGAUGUAACAACUGAUUAACUUUAUUAGGAGUGGCAUAUUCCUAUGGAAAUUAUCCAAAAAUGUCAGAUAUGUCAACUUAACAUAAAAUAAUUCACAAGAAUCUUGUCCUAAUUCCAAGUAUCCACCUCCCGGGAAAGAGAAAUUGAUUCCACAAAAAGGAGAUAGCUCUAGUCAGAUCAGACUCUUAUACAAAAAGACUCAUUCUCCACCUAAAACCCCAAACUCAUGAGUUAUCUUCCAAUCCCGGUAGAGGCGUAAAGUUUGACUUUAUCUCGACCAUGGGAUUCUCAUCAUAGUCAUUUCUUUUAUGUGUCGGCAAUAUCUUUUGACAUGGACAACUCUUAACUCAAAGUAUGGAAGGGGACACGAGAUAACUCUUCCGUGUGGGGGAUCAAGAGAUGUCGGAUACUAUUUUUGCGUUAGUUGGUAAGGGAGGUCUAAACCGCACAUUUACUAAAGAUGAUCCCUCCUUAGGUUUGGGAGUGCUUCCUUUUGAAUAGGAUAAGAGGGGAUGCAUCAAGUACGAUGAGUGUGUCAUCCCUCUCCAUGAAUGCUUAUUCUCUGAUAGGUUUAUGUAUCCCCUUCAAUGAAUUUGAGGCUGACGUUCUAAAUCAUCUAGUAAUUUCUCUUUCACAACUACACCUAGCGAGUUGGACUUAUAUCAAAGUCUUCUCGUACUAAUACAAAUACAAGAAAGGUGUGUCGGCUCUGACACUCUUCUUCCACCUCUUUAAAGCCCAAUAAAGUUCUUUUGAUUUAGCUUGGGGUCAAGGUGUGGUCUCUCUUAGGCAGAGAUCCAAGAUGUUUGAGGUUUAUUCAGAGAAUGUGAAGAACUCCAAGGAACGAUGUUACAUAUUUAACACCCUUAGAGUUGUCUUUGAGUGAGGCUUGGGAAGGUUGGAAGAAAGUUGAAUAUGACCUUCAAGAGAUCACACAUCUUGAAAACCUUGCAUGAUCUAAAGAGUAAGCAAAGUUGGUGGAAUAGUUUUUCUCCAUUCUGCAAGUGUUUUGAAAACGUAUUAAAGCAGGUAGAAUAAUUUCAUCCCAGGGUGCGAAUUUUUCGAGAACAUAUUUGUUAUGAUCAAGAAAUGGUGAAUGGGAAGCCGGUCGAUGGAGAUGAGUCGUAUUCAUAGCCUCUUGUAUCCUUUUUUAUUUUGUAUGCUCUUACCCGAUGUAACUUUAUUGGAUAAAUAUGUGGAUUUAUGUGCUUGUAGGUAGGGGUGUUCGCGGUGCGGUUUGGGAGGUUUUUCCGAUAAAAAUCACCCGAACCGCAAGAGAAAAAAGCAUGUGGUUCAGUUUGUUUCGGUUGGCUUUUAGAAAUAAAACCAAACCAAACCAAACCAAAUCAAUGCGGUUUGGGUUGGUUCGGUUGGUUCGGUUUUUUAUAAUAUUUUUAUUGAGUCAUAUUUACUCCUAUAAAUAAUGACAUAACUUUGUGUUUAGUCAUUCAUACAUUACUAAAUAACAUCAAAAUUCAUCAUAUUUAGACAAAAAUGUUUCAUUCAAUAUACAAAAAAUCAGAUUAGACAAAAGUGGAAUAAAAGACAAAUAAACUUUGUGUUUAGUCAUUCAUACAUUACUAAAUAACAUCAAAAUUCAUCAUAUUUAGACAAAAAUGUUUCAUUCAAUAUACAAAAAAUCAGAUUAGACAAAAGUGGAAUAAAAGACAAAUAUAAAUAAUAGCAUAAAAUAAUAUCAAAGACAUUAUAAUAAAACAUAAAAAAAAAACAUAUGAGAUGAGAGAUUAGAGAAGAUGAAAAAAAGAACAUAAGAGAUGCGAGAUUGAGAAGAAAAGUGCAAUAAAAACAUAAUUGGAAGAGAACAUAGUAACAUAAAAGAUAAAAAAGAAAGAACAUAAUAAAGGACUUAUUAGAGUAGAAUAUGCGAGACCUACAUGGAAAAGAAGAUGAGAAGAAUGUGUGAUACUAUUAUGAGAUAUUUAAGAAGGUUGAAAUUGAAACCCUAAGUGUGAUUAAGAGAAAAUCGUUUGUAAUUGUAAGGUUAAGGCAUACUAGGUUUGAGGUUUGGGUUGGAUGUGUGAUAAGUGAAGUUUGGGUUGUAACAUAAUGCAGUUUGGUUUGGUUUAGUUCGGUUUGCAAAAUACAAACCGCAAACCAAACUAAACUAUGCGGUUUUAUUAAAAAAUGACCCAAACGAAUCUGAACCAGAUGCAGUUUUUUGCGGUUUCGGUUUGGUUUGGUUUGGUUUGCGGUUUUCUAUUGGGUUGGUUUGGUUUGGUUUGCGGUUUUCUAUUGGGUUGGUUUGGUUUUGAACACCCCUACUUGUAGGUAUAACGUUUGCUGCAAUUAAUUUACUUAUAUGUUUUUGAUGAUGACAACACCAUAAGAUGAAGUCUUCAUAUGAAGUGUUGAUCAAGUUUUUAUGCUUGUAGAUUAAGAUGUCAAAACCAGUCUCUUAAGGACUACACCUAAUCUAAAUAGGUGUUCGGUGGAAUCUCUGAUGAUCUUUAAUCAGACAAUCUCUCUGAUGAUAAUAUCUAUCAAGAAGCCUUAUCAAACCUCAUUAGAUAGAUCUCAAGUCAAGUUCUGAAUGAAGUGCUGAAUUGUUGAUGUAUCAAGCAAAGGAUAAUUAAGCUUCAUAGUUUUUGAAAGAGAGGAAGCGUGAAAGCUCAUUUGGUUCACGUCUGAGUGAUCAGAGUUUUGUAAAAGAUAUUAAAGUAGUUCUUAAACUACAAAGGCAAUACACACACUCAUCUAAAAGUGUUUUAACCAAUCUAUUUGAUUAAAAUCCUUAAAAACUUUAGAGGAACCGUCAAAGUUCUUGUGAGAUUGAUAAAGGGUGUUUCUAAAUAUUUAGGUGGCUUAUAUACAUUGCCCAAUUGAUUAAAAUCCUUAGCCAAUCAAUUAGAGCAAGGUUUAAAUCUUCCUAAUAGAUUAUGAACACUUCUAAUUAAUUAGGACAUUGACCUUUAUAUGGUUUCCUUUUUGGGAAUUAGGGUUUCCAUUUUUAUAAAGCACAUAUAAUUGAUUAGGUAUUUGGCAUAAUCGAUUAUGAGCAUUAAAAAACUCAUGUAUAGUUUUCCUUUUUGAGCCAAAUUUCUCUCCUAUAAAUAAAGGGCUCUCCUUACUUUCAAACUACACCAGAAAAUAUGUUUUAAUACUCUUUGGUACUUUCUACUUAUUUACUUAUCAUUUCUCUCAUUCAUUAAAUAUGUAUUAGUGCUUUAGGAGUGAAAAAUGUCAGUAAGGCAUUUUUUGUAUUCUAAUGCAGGGAUACUGUUAUAAUUUGUGCAAGAGAUUUUUCAUCUCUUGUGGAAUAUCUUUUGUGAGAAGUCCAUGUUUGAUUUGUGAUCUUAGGUAGUAAAAACACUCAUUUAGUUUGUAAGAUUGUCCUUUAAAACCUUCGUAUGGUCAGUGAGCUUCACCUGAUAUAAAAGCUCUCAUUUGGUUUGUGAUAUUGUCUAUUAAAAUCUCUAUAUUGUUUGUGAGAUUCUACUGAUAUAAAACUCUCAUUUGGUUUGUGAUAUUGUACGUCAAAAUCUUUGUUUGGUUCGUGAUUUGUGUUAGGUGUAAAAGCUCUCAUUUGGUUCGAGAUUAGCCUCGUAUAAAAUCUAGUGUUUGAUUUGGAGGAUAGCCAGUGUAAAACUCCAAGUUUAGUUGUAAGAAGGUUCGUCUCCAUAACUUAUAAAAAGCUCACACAUAUAGUGGAAACUCUCAUGAAGAAAUUCCUUGGGAGAGGAGUAGGUCAAGUGGUUAGAUUAAACCUCUAUAUCUCGUGCAAUCUUCUUAUCCCUCAUAUCUUUCUAUUUUUAUUAUUUACUAUUUUUGGUGCGCUCAAAUAGUUUUUCUACUAUGAUUUUAUUCUACUUAUUUAUUUCACUGCUUACUCUUAGUUUAAGUUAAAAAACUAUUUUAAGCAAUUGCUUUUGCCAAAAAAAAUUUAAUUGAAAAUUGUUUUUCAGAGAAACACAAUUCAACCUCAUCCCAUCUCUUAUGUUUGGAGUCACUUAUUCGAAAAAAUAAAUUCCAUGGCCCCUUCUUAUAUCUUACUUCAUUUACUUAGCGUUGUUUUUACCUUUUACGACGUUGUUUUGAGCCUUGAGUUCAUCUUUAUGAAAAUAGCUCAUUUUUCGAGGUCGUGCUUGAUGUUUUAUUGGAUGUCUCUAAUAAAUGUGCUCACCAAGGGUUUGCUCCUCUUCUUUUUCCCCAAUUUUAUACUUGGUCCAAGGCCGACAUAGUGAGGACUCACUACUUGAGCUCUAGAGUGUCUAGCUACCAUGGGGCGAGCCCUUAAUCACCAUUUUAUGGUGUGAUAUCUUUAUUCAUGUGAUUUUCGAUGUGGGUUUUUUAUUGCUUUAGUCGUGCGUUGCUCUGUUGUAUUUGCAACAUCACCUCUGAGUCGUUUGACGUGAGGUUUUAAUUACUUUGAUCGUACGCCUGUGGCAUUUGUGACAGAACUCCUGAUUCGUGGCUAUCCUUUAUGAUUACAAGGAAGAAAAUAUAAUGAAACUUUAUUCAUUGAUAUUGAAAAAAGGUAUUACAUUAUAAUAAAAUGUGUUCUUUACACAUAUGAUAAAAGGGAAAUUUAACCAAGAGGUGUGAGUGUUGCUUAUUUUCUUUCGGGUGUACUUUUAUGGUGUGCCAUGGUCGUCCUUAAUCUUUAUUCAGAUUCGUCCCCUGCAUCUGUCAAGUUAAAAUUAUUUGCAUCAUACCUCCUAGGAUCCCUGGUCCUUUAUUUUAGGGGUUUGAUCACCAUUUAUUUUAACUGUUUGAUGAGGAAGGUCACGUUGAUAUCUGCCACCUUCUCUUUGUCUUUCCUCUUCUAGUCGUGUUGCAACAUUUUAUGUAUCCUUCAUGAUCUGGACAAGUCGGCGCACAUUGUCACCAACACUUCAUGAACAUUGUGAUAUUUCAAUUUGAGGUGGACCAGGGAGGCCAUCACGUACAUCAUUGUCGUGAAUGGUUUACCCAAGAUGUAGUUAUAGACACUCCUGUAGAGAAUUACUAGUAAUUGUAGGUUAAUCGUCCUGGUGUUCCUCCCUCCUAUUAAAGUAACCAUAAACUUAAUAUACCCCCAUGAGCGAGCUACCAUGUCGUUAAAGGCUUGUGGGUCAAAUCCCUCGUAUGGACAUAACUUAUCCCUUCUCAGUCCAAGUUUUUUGAAAAGCUCUGCAUACAUAAUGUUCAAAGAUCCCCCUAUCAAUGAGGAUCUUAGAUACGUUAAAAGGGGUCAUGGUUUCCGUUAUAACCAAGGGGGAAAAUCACGUUUGGGAUUCUUGCCUACCUUUUCACUAUCCCGAAAUCCGAGGACAAGCCUUUCCAAUUUCUCGUCAAGAGUUGUUUCUCAUUCUUUUGUGAGUUCCAUUAACUUGAUGAUCCUUAUCUUCACAAUCCCAUUGUAAGGUUUUUUUUAUGGUAAUGCUUCCAUCAAUGGAAACGAUAUAGUGUUGUUUCCCUAUUUUAUCUUUUUUUUCCUUUGCUACUAUCUUUAUUUCUCUUCGAUCUAGUCAUGAACUCGAUAGUUUUCUUGGGGGAUGCUUUCUUCAGGAGAGGGGGUCGUUUAUUCUUUGACAACUCAUCCCAUGCUCUAUGAUCUCUCUUUCGGUCCCAUAUGUCUCUUCGGGCUAUUUUCUAUGUAUACCCGACGAGUCACUUCUUUUUUCCCAACUCUUCAAUUACAUCAUUCAGAUGGAUGCAUUCGUUAGUGUUGUGGUCUUUUGCUGAAAUGACAUUAUUUUAACUUAUUUUUCCUAUCUAACUUUCUCACAUGAUAGAAUUUCUUGAUCCCCUCUUAUUUUAAUUUGUUAUUUGUGCAUUCUCGCUAGAGUUUCUUCCUUUAUGUGUUCAAAUGAGUGUAUGUAGAAAAUUUAGCUCGAGGUCCUCAGUGUUCAUCGCCUUUACGAUGAUUAUUGUCUUUUUCUGGCGCUCAUCCAUAUCCGAGGUUUCUCGUUCCCUGUUUAUUCUCUCCAGCUAAGAGUUCUUCCUUGUAGUUGAUAUAAGGUUAGGCUCUACCCAGCAGGUCACUUAAACUACAAGCUCCUUCCAAUCCUAGUUUUUCCUAGAACAUGCAAUCUGACCUUGGUCGCCUUUUGAAUAUCCAACAUUUUAAUCCAUCAUUCGUACCUCAUACUUCCACAACUACCUUGUUAAAUCAAUCGAUGUACUCCUACAAUGUAUUUUACUUCUUUUGUGUGAUCCUACUGAGUACAACCACAAAUGUGGAUUUCCGCUUUCGAGAGGUAAAAUAAGUAAGGAAAGAGUCACAUUGUUCCUUCCAUGAAUCUAUGCUCAUAUCUAGUAGGGUUUUAAACCAUAUCAUAAAAGUUUACUUAAGGGUCAAUGCAAAGAGCUUGCAUUUCAAAACACCUUGGGCGAGGUAAUAAUCCAAUCUAUUGUCCAUAUUUUGAAUUUUUUAUUUGGAUACCAUGUAUCGUUGUAACUUUCUAGCUUUGGGAGCUUCUCAAAGGACCUCAGGAUCCUACUGCCAAGAAUGCAUAAGGAGAACGUGUUCCUAUUUUGCUCAGAGGUCGAUGUAUCUGUGUCACGAAUUUCUCCACUCCGAUAAUGGUGUUUUAGUGAGCGAGCUAAGAUGACAACGAACCUAGGUGGAGUAUGAGUGUUAAUUCUCCCUCGGAGUCGGGUGAAGGGGUAUGAUGUCCUAUAUUCCAAUUACGACCUUUUGAUCUUGUGAUUUCUUGAUGUAGUAAAGAUUCAUCUAUUUGAUUUAACUGGAGAAUGACUCAUUCGUUGUUGUGCAAAGCUGCCUCGUGCAUGGUUUGGUUCUUAGAAAAUCCCCUAGUAGGUUCAUUUCAAUCCUAAGUUUCUUGUCUGCUAAGGCUUAAAAAAUUUAUGGUUGUACUAAAUUAUAGACAAUCUUCAGUAGGUCGAAGACCCCUUGCAUUCCUAUGUUAGCUUGCAAUUGUCGAAUAUUUAUGAGCAUCCCUUAUCCAAGUAUUGACGAUUGCGAUGGAGGUUGCUUCAAAGCUUGGUCUUGGCAAAGUUAUUACAGAGGUUGGAAAAACUGAAGGGCUUGGAAUGUUCCCCACUCAACUCUCAGAGGAAUAAAAUCUUGUUGCACAUGAACAAACAUAGAGGUCACUAGAAUUAGAUCAUCUUCUACUUGAGGAGGAUGUGGAGCCUUGUUAACUUCAAUAGUCAUCAAAGUGCCAUGAUUUUGAGCGCAUGGUCUAGUAAUCUUUGAUGUCACCAUGGUUUUGCAUAUUUGAUAUAUGGUUUGUUCGAGAAAGAGAUUAAUGCGUCAUGAAAAGAAGAUCGAUGAUCUGAAUCUUCAGUGAAGCCACAAUGAUUUUUUCGUUGAAAAAGGGCAUGCAUAAGCGGCUAACUACGCCACUAUUAUGUUUAGGAACUAGAGAUAUCUGAUGAAGUGAUGGAAUGAAGCUCACUUACAAUGGAUCAGUCUUCUAAUGUGAUAGAUUAGACUUAUAACACAACGGAUAAUGGGGUUUACCUACAAGGUAAGCACCCAAACGCCUAAGAUAGUUAAUGCGUGAAAAAUAGGUUUAGAGUGAGAAUGAAUUGAGUACUUGAAAUGACGUGAACUAGUCUUUAUAUAGUAUGGGCAAUUAAAAUCCCUUGCACGGAUUCGAGGCCUUUUAUGAAUUAUCGUUCUAUUAGAUCCAACAAUGAGAGAUGUGAUGGAGAGCGUGAUCGUGUAUCCUUGACAGGAGCGAGGGUCUACCUUUUUCAUGCACCUUCUUCUCUAACAAUCAUUAUUGGACAUGCUUUAUGGGCCUUGUAGGAAAGUGUUUUAAAAAUAGGAUCGGACAGGCCGGUCAAAUUAGGAAUCAGAGGAGUUGGUUGUCUGGUGUGAUUGUUGGAUCAGGUAAGCUAUUGAACCAGUGAGAACCGAUCAGAAUCAGAUAAAAUCGAGAAAAAAAAUGACGAACGGGUGGUUUUAGAAAAUCAUUAAGUUAAAUGCUUGUGUUUUUUUUCUCAUACAAAACGACAUGAUUUUGAUAAUUUAAAAAAGAUCAUAAAACUAAAAUAUAAGUAAAAUUUAUUCAAAUCUUAUUUCGAACAACUUUCUCUCCUUAGAAUUAAAUUUAUUAGUUUAUCUUGCAAUUAAAUUUUGUUCAAAAUUUAUUUGGAUUUGUAUUUUGUACUAUUUAAUGACUAUGUUUAAAAUUUGAAUAUAAAAAAUGAAUUUGUAAAAUUACGACCUUUUAAAAAUUUAAAAAUUGUGUAGGUGUCAUGAUUUGUUUUAAAGAUAGAUCAUCUAAUUUGAUAAGUUUAACAACUAUAUAGUCUUGUUAUAUAGAAAUUAAUUUAUUCAACUGAAUCAUCUAAUUAAUCGGAUUUAAUUAUGUGGUUUGAUGAUAUCCAAUUGUUCGGUCAAUAAACCAAUAAUUCAAUGUUCCCAUAACUUUGAUAACUAAUCUGAUUUUUAAAGCGGUUAGAACAAUUAACAAUUAAUAUCAAAAUUAAAAUUUAUUGUGAAAAGAAAAUAUUAAUAUUAAAGUGUAUAUUUUUUUAGGAGAGAUUAUUCUUAUUAUUUAAAAACAAGUCUUUCCCUUAAAAAAAUAGCGAGGUGCAAUAACACAAGGCAAGUCAUUUGUCAAAAUAAAAUAAAAUAAAAUAACUAUAAAAAAUUGGGUUUUACUUUAAGCGAUUUUCACUGAUUUAAGUGGUUUUUUUUACCCAAAUAACCCACUUUUUCAAGGAAAUUCCCAAAAUACCCCUAGUUUCAAAAAAAAUCCCAAAAUACCCCACUUUUAGGAGGAGUCGCCAAUUGAAUUGGAGACUCCUCUUAAAACUUAAAAUAACCCACUUUUUCAAGGAAAUUCCCAAAAUACCCCUAGUUUCAAAAAAAAUCCCAAAAUACCCCACUUUUAGGAGGAGUCGCCAAUUGAAUUGGAGACUCCUCUUAAAACUUGAAUGGAGGCGUCAAUUGGAUUGGCUAGGGCAGGUGCCCUAGCCAAUCCAAUGGGCUCCUAUGUGUAGGUUUUAAGAGGAGUCGCCAAUUCAAUUGGAGACUCCUCCUAAAAUACAUUUUUUUGUGUUUUAUGGUAUAAGUGAAAGAUAAAUUUGAUAUAAUACGAAUUGAUAUUAAUAAAGUUUGGAGUUUACACAAAGAAACCUAAUGGUGAUGACCGGGAUCACCUAACCGACCUCCGGUCCCACAUCCUCUAGCUACCAUAACCCUUGGCCCUAACCGACGUUGACGAUUCUGCACCGGUGUUUGAUCAUCUGAGGGGCCAGGAGCGUCACUACCAACUACAGGAGAAGGUCUGUUGAGGUAUUCAGACUAGUCAGCAUAGUCUUUAGUAUGCAUUGAUGGUGUACCGCCGUAGCUGAGCUCAUGACCCAUGCCAGAGAAGUUGGGAUGUGGUUGACUCAUGGAUGGGCGAUCGAGACGGUUGAAGGGAGACAUGGGUGUGAAUGAUGCGUCGAGGAAAGGUUGGAAAGGUUGUUGGGGUGUUUAGUAGAGAUAGGAUUGUUGGAUGUUUUGGUUUUGUGAUGUUUGGGCUUCUUGGCUACGGUAGGAGGAGGGGUGGUUGGUGUUUUGGCUAAGGCGACUUUGGUAGGGUGAUGGUGUGGGUGUGAAGCGAUGUUGGGUCUCAGGUUGAUGGUCAAUUUGUUGGUGGUGGUAUGGGGUAUGCUCUUGGUAUUGGAGUUGGGUGAAUGGCAUGUUUUGGUUGUAUGUUUGUGUGUUUGUGGAACGGAAAGUUUGACGGAUAGGAGGUUGUGAGUAACCGGGCUGAGAAUGUUGUUGGGGGUUAGAUGUUGAUCCUUCUUGUGUGUAACUUGCCUGGCGUGGGUCGUAUAGGUACAUAUCUUCGGCGAUGAACUGAAAACCAACCGAUCUGUACCAAGCCAUAUAAGUACGACUUGGUUUUACCUCANNNNNNNNNNNNNNNNNNNNNNNNNNNNNNNNNNNNNNNNNNNNNNNNNNNNNNNNNNNNNNNNNNNNNNNNNNNNNNNNNNNNNNNNNNNNNNNNNNNNNNNNNNNNNNNNNNNNNNNNNNNNNNNNNNNNNNNNNNNNNNNNNNNNNNNNNNNNNNNNNNNNNNNNNNNNNNNNNNNNNNNNNNNNNNNNNNNNNNNNNNNNNNNNNNNNNNNNNNNNNNNNNNNNNNNNNNNNNNNNNNNNNNNNNNNNNNNNNNNNNNNNNNNNNNNNNNNNNNNNNNNNNNNNNNNNNNNNNNNNNNNNNNNNNNNNNNNNNNNNNNNNNNNNNNNNNNNNNNNNNNNNNNNNNNNNNNNNNNNNNNNNNNNNNNNNNNNNNNNNNNNNNNNNNNNNNNNNNNNNNNNNNNNNNNNNNNNNNNNNNNNNNNNNNNNNNNNNNNNNNNNNNNNNNNNNNNNNNNNNNNNNNNUCUUGGUAUUGGGGUUGGGUGAAUGGCAUGUUUUGGUUGUAUGUUUGUGUGUUUGUGGAACGGAAAGUUUGACGGAUAGGGGGUUGUGAGUAACCGGGCUGAGAAUGUUGUUGGGGGUUAGAUGUUGAUCCUUCUUGUGUGUAACUUGCCUGGCGUGGGUCGUAUAGGUACAUAUCUUCGGCGAUGAACUGAAAACCAACCGAUCUGUACCAAGCCAUAUAAGUACGACUUGGUUUUACCUCAGUUGGCAUGACUGCGUCAGUUAAGACAUGGUCAUGACGGUGCUUCCACUUACGACACUCCGAUCUGACGAAGUUUUGCCAUGGGUUGAAGUUCCAUUGGUUGUUAACUUUACGCAAAUGCCAUUCUCCUAGGCUAGCUGGGGGAUCUGGGAUAUUCUGGACCAUACCGAACUGCAGCUCCACACGAUCGGUGUUGUGCAUCUCCACAGUUGUGAACCGUAUUAUCGGUGUGCAUGCUGUCCAUACGGUUGCGUCUUCAGCGUUGACCUCAUGGUCAUGAUCCAAAUUAAGGUAUGGACGCCAAAUGAACUGAAAUGUUAAAGAAGAUAGGAUUAUAAUGAAUGUAGAAAAAGUUAACAAAAUAUAACGAAAUAAUUAAGUUAUUUUGCUUACGUCUGUCGGUCGAAGGUGAUCCAACAGGUUGCGAUACUGAGUAAUACAGUGUCUCAGACAUCUGUUGUAACUCAUACCAUGUGCCGACCAUCUACACCAAAAAUUUAAAAAAAAAUUAGUUUGAGGUAAUAAACUUUAAGGAAGUAAGUAAAGAUAUAGAAAUUUAAACAACUUACUUUUGUGCAUAUGGAAAUGUGAAAGGGUUGUUAUUGACCGGUGCUAGAGACGGUAGUCUUGACCAACCCCAUGCUUGUAGAAAAACAGCACAUCCAGAAAAUGUAGAUGUAUCUUUGUGGGAGUUUUUGCACAACGAGCUAUAGAGAUAGGCUAGACAAGCAGGUCCCCAACUGUAACUUCCUAUUCUAUCUACAUGUCUAAGUAGAGGUAAGUACAUAAUAUGCAUGCUAGAACCACUACCUUCGAGAAAAUAAAAAGGAUCCUAUUAACAACAUAAUGUAACACCUAGUUUUUAUUAUUCGAGCAUCUUCGGUAGAAUGCUCAUCUAAGUAUAAACUAUUAUAAUAUGACUUUAGGCGUGAGAGUAGUAUACCUUGACCUCUAGCAUUAUCAUCUAACAAAUCAGUGUCUAAGAGCUUCAUGCAAAUUGAAUUUGCAUAGUUGGUCUUACCAUUAACAACCUUGCCUUCAAUUGGUAGUCUUAAAAGCAUGUAGACGUCUUCUAACGUCACUGUACACUCACCGGUUGGGAACCAAAAUGUGUGUGUCUCUGGUCUCCAUCUUUCGCAUAAGGCUAGAAUGAAUUUGUUAUCUAUAGACCAAGACAAAAUCUUGCUAAUAUGACCAAAACCGGCGAGUUCAACAUAAGGUUGAAUCAUCGGGUCCAUAUGGACAUAUUCGUGGACCCGAGUUCGAAACCUUGAUACAUCCUAUAAAAGAAAGAAUAAAACACUUGACUAAGUUGGUAUGUCAAAAUAAAAUGGGGUUGGUGAAGAUGAAAGAUAAAAAGUUAACAAAAGAAAAAACUUACAUAUGUUGCGAUGUUUGCAACCGUUCCUCUAUGUGCUUCGCCCAUUGUGAGUAAAGACAUUUUGUUGGGGGGUUGGUGUAGAUGAAACUAGAAGAUGUUGUUGAAGAUGAAAUUGUAAAAGAAGUAUUGUAGAGGAAGUAGUGAGAGUGAUGGUGUGGAAGAAGUGUUGAUGAAAUGGAUGUAUUUAUAGGCAAAUGGAUGGGAGCAUGAAAAGUUGUGCUUGCAUGGUGUCUCCACAUGAAUUGGCGACCAUGUACAAGCUUUAAGAGGGGUCGCCAUUCAAAUUGGCGCCUCCAUAGGGACAUGCAUGCAAGACCUAGGUCUGAAUGCUUGGUUUCGAGGUCUGAAUGCAUGGUGUCUCCACUUGAAUUGGCGACCAUGUACAAGGAAUAAGUGGAGGCGCCAAUCCAUUUGGAGUGUGUGUCUGCAUGUCUGACACGUGGCUGUCUUGUCUCCUGCAUGCUGAACAAGUCACUUCUUGAUAGCUUGCAUGGUUGACACAUCAUCUCAGACUAUCUUGCAUGUCUGACACAUCAUCUCAGACUAGCUUGCAUGUCCGACACGUCAUCUCAGACUAUCUUGCAUGUCCGACACGUCACUCCGAACUAGCUAGCAUGUGAGACACUUCACUCAUCUAUUUAAGUGUCUUACUAUCAACAUCCAAGACACUUCACUCACAUUCAUCUGCAGUAAGAAAAUAGUUUUCAUCUGCACAAUGUCAUCUUCAUCAUUAUACAGUGUCAACGUUCACUGCAACGGUGAAACAUUUGAGUCUGAGCUUCAUGGUUUUUGUUUUCGAAACACUGAUACCAUUAGAAUCACGAUCAAGAGAAAUGCAACCUUCUUGCAUUUGAAAAAAAGAAUACAAUCCUUUAUAGGAUCGGGUAUUGUGUCAAAGAUCACAUAUCAAAAUCCAAUAUUUUUUGAGAAUGGUCAAUGCAAGUAUUUCCCCCUUAAGGUACGAGACGAUGAAGAUGUUGAAUACAUGUUUGUUAGUCAUGAACAUUCAGGCUGCAACUGUAUUGAGUUGUACAUUACUCUUCAACCAUGUAUACCAUCUCAACAGUCUCAACUAACCGGUCAGGAUGAAUCUGGUGAAGAUGAUCGACAAUGGUCAGAUGACGUCAACCCAGAAGCAGAGGCAGAAGUGGAUGUCGUUGAUGAAGAAGAAGAGGAGACCGAGAUACAGGUUGAUCACAUGCUGAACAACGACGAUGAAGAUGAUGAUCAACCACCACCAAUACCUCCUAGUCAUGUCUACAAUCCGCCUCAACAUAUGACAAAUAUGGAUCUUCACGACGAUGAAACAUCCAACAGUGUUUUCUAUAAUCCGUAUCCGAGAUCAGAAGGCGAAUUAAAGGUGGGAGACAUGUUUCGUACCAAAGAAGAAUGUGUUCUGGCAAUCAAAAAAUUCCACAUGAACAACUCUGCUGACUUUACAGUGAAACGCACUGAUUCUAGAAGGUAUGUUAUCGAAUGUCGUAACAUGCUUUGUAAGUUUCGUUUGGCUGCAUCUUACAAGAAGAAAAAUGACUCUUGGGAGAUCGCUUCAAUAGACCCACCGCACAGUUGCAUUGCAACUAACGUUGAACAAGAUCACCGUAAACUAAGCGCAACUUUGAUAUGUCAAGACAUUCUGCCGUUGGUUAAUAAAGACCCAUCAGUGAAGGUGAGUAUAAUUAUAUCCCAUAUCCGAACAACAUAUAAUUAUACUCCAUCUUACAAGAAAGCAUGGAUUGCGAGGACAAAGGCUGUUGAACAGGUUUUCGGCAACUGGGAGGAUUCAUUCAAGGAAUUACCACGGUUUUUAUGGGCACUAAAAACAUAUGUCCCAGGAACUGUGGCAAUUAUGGAGACAGUGCCAGCAAUGAUGCCAGACGGAACCUGUGCUACAGGUAAUAGAAUAUUUCACCGUCUCUUUUGGGCAUUUGACCCGUGCAUCAAAGGUUUCGCAUUCUGCAAACCUAUUAUUCAAAUUGAUGGCACUUGGUUAUACGGAAAAUACAAGGGUACUUUGCUCAUGGCGGUUGCACAAGACGGCAACAACAAUGUCUUUCCCAUUGCCUUUGCUCUUGUUGAAGGUGAAACGGCUGGUGGAUGGGGUUUCUUUCUUCGACAUCUCAGAACGCAUGUCGCUCCACAAGCCAAUCUAUGUUUGAUUUCUGAUAGACAUGCUGCCAUUGAAAGUGCCUACAACAACCAUGACAACGGAUGACAUGAUCCUCCUUCUACACAUGUCUACUGUAUCAGACACAUUGCACAAAACUUCAUGCGUGCUAUAAAAGAUAAGAAUCUUCGCAAGAAGGUGGUGAAUGCUGGGUAUGCUUUAACUCAACCGUCUUUUCAAUAUUAUCGUGAUGAGAUUCGUCUGUCUAAUGAAGACGCGGGGAGAUGGAUAAAUAACAUCCCAGUAGAGCAGUGGACAAGAGCAUUUGACGGUGGUUGUCGAUGGGGCCACAUGACAACAAACAUUGUGGAAUGCAUGAACGGGGUUUUCAAAGGAAUUCGAAAUCUGCCGAUAACCGCCUUGGUAAGAUCAACCUAUUAUAGGUUGGCUUCUAUGUUCGCAACCAGAGGUGAAAGAUGGAGUGCAGUGUUAAUGUCCGGACAAGUAUUCAGUGAGUGUUGCAUGAAGGUCAUGAAAGAGGAGAGCAUCAAAGCUACCACACACGCUGUAACAGUCUUUGACCGUCAUAGACAAAAUUUCAGCGUCCAGGAAACAAUGGGCAACAACGAGGGGAGACCAAAUUUAGCCUACGCUGUUAGACUACACAGAAGUUGGUGCGAUUGUGGAAAAUUUCAGGCCUUCCGCAUACCUUGCUCCCAUGUCAUUGCAGCAUGCGCUUAUACUCGUCAAGACGCUUACACCCAUUUAUCUGAUGUGUACAAGGCCAACACCAUCAUGAAUGUAUAUACUCAAAGCUUCUCAGUACUACCAAUGGAGGAUUACUGGCCUCCAUAUGAAGGAGAUAUUGUUUGGCACAAUGACGAGAUGCGUAGAAAGAAGAAAGGAAUGCCAAACAACACACGUAUAAGAACAAAGAUGGAUUCCACAGAUAAAAUGAUAAGAUUAUGUAGUAUCUGUCGUCAACCAGGACACAACAAAAACAACUGCCCCAAUCGAGGAGCAUCAUCUAGGUCUUAAGCUUUUUGUAACAUUGUAUUUCUGUAACAUUCAAUCAUUAUAUAUCAUUAAGUUCUUGUUACAACGAGGUUCACAACAAACAUCACUACAAAACAUCUGAAAAUAUAAAUAUUUCUAACUGAUUACAAUAAUCAAAUUGAUGUCGUCUCGACCGAACAUCAUUUCCCUAGCAUCCUUAUCAGUCUUCAUUCGCACCCAAUCAAAGAUAUUGUCAAGUCUCUCAAUACUUCUGAUUUUUUCCCCUUCUGGUAUUUUCCCAUCUAACCAACGAACCAGCUCCCUCUAGUCAACUAGCUUGCACCACUACAAGGUUUUGUCGUAGUCGUAUUGAGGUUUGUCUCUCGCAUAAAUCACCUUUCCGUAUCGGCGACGAACACCAAACAUGAUAGCCAAAUGAUUAUAUGAGAUGUGAAACAAUUGGUCACACAACGCAUCUAUUUAUAAGACAAAAAAUGCAUUUUAUGAGGAGUCUCCAAUUGAAUUGGCAACUCCUCUUAAAACCUGCACAUAGGCGCCAAUUGGAUUGGCUAGGGCGUCCAUUCAAGUUUUAAGAGGAGUCGUCAAUUCAAUUGGAGACUCCUCCUAAAAGUGGGAUAUUUUGGGAUUUUUUUUAAAUCAGGGAUAUUUUGGGAAUUUCCUUGAAAAACUGGGUUAUUUUUGUAAAAAAAACCGAUUUAAGUGAAUUAGUGGUCAUAGUUUUGAAUUUUAAUUCAAUCCAUCAAGCAUAGUUUAUCUACUUAUAUAAAGUUUUGUGUCACUAUUUAAUAAUCCUUUUCAAAACAGUUUAUAUCAUUUUUCUUAAAUUUUUUUGAAUAUAUUUUUAUACAUUCUCCAAGAUAUCAUAGGAAUCAGCUUAGAACAUAGAUAAAAACAAUUUAUAUUUAUUUUAUCUUUUGUUCUAUAAGUUCUUAUUUUGACAAGUGUUUGUGUGAUAAGCUUCCAUUUAUCCAAACAAGCCCUAAUAGGGCACUUUGAUUUUCAAAAAAUAUUGAACAUAGCCUAAAUUAUCUUUAACUUGUAAUAUCAAAAUUUACAAUUUUUCAUUGAAAUUGGUAUAAAAUAUUGGAGACCAAAUACCAAAAUAAACCAAACAAAAAAUAUUGGUGUACGAAGAGACACCUUAUCCUCCUGAAGGUCUUGUUCUAUCCGUUGAUAACUGCAACAACAACACCGCAAUGCCCACUUUGAACCUCUUCACCAACAUUCCUGUGGACCCUGUUAUUGCUUCAGACAUUCUCAGAGAUGCCACCAAAGCUGUUGCAAAGAUCAUUGGAAAACCCGAAUCCGUUGAGUACAUUUUUAGACAUUCUUCAUUCUUGACCACCAGUUGUUUGAUGAAAUUACUCUGUAGAUGACAAUACUUUAUCAAACCCUUGAUGGUCUUAAUGCCAGCAACACUCAAUUGUAGUUUUAUCUAUCAACUUUAUUUAGUUCAAUUUGACUUAAAUUUGUGUUUUUUUUUGGAUUGUGUUUCAGUAUGUGAUGAUUUUGUUGAAUGGUGGAGUGCCUAUUGCAUUUGGUGGGACUGAAGAGCCUGCUGCCUAUGGAGAAUUGGUAUCAAUUGGGGGUCUUGGUCCAACUGUUAAUGGAAAAUUGAGUUCUACUAUUGCCGAAAUUAUUCAAACUAAGCUGUACAUUGAUAGCUCCAGAUUCUACAUCAAGUUUUAUGAUGUGGAGGUAAAUUUCUGUUCUUUUUUCUGUUUUUAACUGGCAUCUGGUAUAUUCGUUCUAUUCAAUUAUGAUUCUCAGUUACCUUACUUUAUCUAGUUAUGCGUGGUACUCUAUUUCAUGUAUUAUUCUCAUUAAGUAUUUGGAUAAUAGGAUAAAAUCAAUAAUAUGGCUUGAGAGACUGUACUUGAUAGGUUGUGAGAACAUUGUGCCUGAGGAUUAUUUCACCCCAAAGGUGAAUAUUUUGGGUGCCAAAAUUUAUCGGCUUUUUGGAAAUUAUUCCAGAUAUAUGAAGCAACAAUGGAUGUUGUUAUUUUUGUGACUGGUAACUCCUUUGUUAGUUGGUUAGGUUGGAGUGUGAUGUUAUGCAUAUAAAUACGAGGAGAGAAUUAUGGGAAGAUUGGUUUUUGAUGGGGAGCAGAUUCUACGGUGUAUCAGUCCGGUGUUGCAGUUCCGUUUGGUCUGUUGUAGUGUAUAUCAGAUUUUUUCUGCUAAAUCAGCCCUGGCUCUCCUGUCAUGGGGUGGUUUAUGUUUUAGCUUUUCUUAGUUUUGGUCGUUGUGAUGUAUGCCUUUUCGAAUGGUUUGGUAAUGGGAUUGUUUCUGUUAUGGAUUUGUGUCGAUCUGCAGCUUUGCGGCCUGUUUUUUCAGUCCAUUUGUACUCUUACUCUAAUUUCCUUCUUGUGCACAUCUUGUCUAGUGAAUCCAAUUAAUAUAUUUUGAUGUUAAAAAAAUGUGUAUAAAUAGGAGGAAGGGAUUAGAGUGAGGUAGCUUGUCAUUUUGAUUGAGUUGGCGGCGCAGACCCUUGAAGCUCUGCAACAUUGUAAUCCAAGAAGCUUCCUUAUUCUUUUGUAAUGAGAUACUAGUUCCCAUCACAUUUUGUGGAAAUAGUUCUCAACAUAUAGUGAUCUGUAUCAUGAUUUAUGUAUUUUCACUAUCAUUUUGAAUUUACUGAAGUAUCUUUUACAAGAUAUAUUUUAUUAUUUCAUUGCUGACAUUCUAGAUCUCAUUUUAUUUGUUGUGGUGCAGCGCUCUUUUUUUGGGUUCAAUGGCUCAACCUUCUGAUCAGAGGUAUUUCAAGUCAAAGAUUUGAGCAGCUUCACAAGGAAGAAAUCUAUUUCAUCUUUCUGUGGAUCAUUACAAAUUUGUAUGUUGGUGAACAAACACAUUUGAUAUAUAAAAAUGUAUCCUUCUCAGUCCCCUCAUUUUGGUCUGUUCAAGAAUCAUUUAAUUUAUUGUUCUUCUUGUUGGACCUGAAUCUCAGUAACAGAUUAUAUAAAACAGAUAGAAGUUAUUUAGAUUUUAAAGAGAAAGCUAGCAAUCAAUAAACACUUGAGUGACACUCCAACUAAAAAGAUAGCAAGUAAUGUUAUGCGUGAAGGAUGCCUCAUGAAAUUUUCUCACAGUUUUCUCUCACAGUUCAUGAUUAUUUUACAAAUCAAGCAUUGAUAAAAAAAAGUUCUAUUCUAUCUCAGUCCGCAUUUUUUUAAUUAACGUGAAUGAUCUUACUAAGAUGAGUUUGUGGCAUGUAAUAAGCAUCUCACCUAAGUGUGUUUGUUUAAUAAAAAACUAUUUUGUGAAAUUGAUUUUACUCAAAAUUGGAUUGAAUAUAGUAGGACAUAAUUGAAAGUAUUAGUGUAAAAUUAAGUUGAACAAUAAACUUAAACACAACAAUCUAUUUCAAAUUAGAAUGAAUUUUUAAAGCUAUAUAUCAAUUGCGAUUGACACUACCAGAUCGUCUGAUUAUGAUCGUUUUUCAACUUAACGGAUACAUUAUGUUCACCAAAAUCCAAGGAGAGAUUAAUUAAAUGAAAAUAACUAUAUCCAAAAAACUGACCUCUAAACUAAAGUUGAUUCAAAGGAAAGAAAUGUAAUUUUAUUAGGAAUGAAACUCUACCUACAAAAUUCCACAAUAAGAAUAUAUGAUAAUAAAUUUAUUCUUUACACUGAAAAUUGGAGUAAAUCUGUAAAUGUAUCCAUACAGAACAGUAUAGCACAAGUGCUGCAGCUACAUUUGAAAGCUAGCUUUGUAAAUCAUUUUACAAAUGGAGUGCUUAAAAUUACAGCAUCAUCCCCAAAUCACCAUCCAUAUUUCGCUUGUGUUUCAGCUUUGGUAAGCAUGCCCUUGGAACGGCGCUCGGCGAGUUUCAUUUCAUUUUGUUUCAUAUCAAAGUACAAUGAACCAAUUUGAUGCUUCCUCUUCAUUAGCUUUGAAGGCUUUCCCUUUGCUGAAACAGGCUAUAAAAGGAAAGAAAACUGAUCAAUACAAAAUAGUAAUCAUAGUAGCAUACUUCACACCAAAAGUGGAUGGAGAAAAUAUGGUUGGAAGGGAGAUUCCACUAAAAGUGGAUACUACACACCAAAAAACACAGUUUCAAAAAAAAAUGGAGAAUACACAAAAAACAGUUGCAAAAAAAAAGGACUUCAGAUUUUGUCUGUGAAAAAUAAAUGAUUUAUCUUUUUGGGGCACCAGUAAAAUUAACUUUUUUUCUGUGCCUCCAAUUGCAAAAAUGGUGUAACAUGAACUAUGAUUUAUGGUUGUCACACAGUACUUUUUCCAUACAUAUGGACCCAAAAUCAAACUCAAGAACACAUGCUUAUAAUAUCUCAGCUAAGCACUUCCCACUACAAACCGACACAUGUCAAAAUUUUUGGUAUCACUACUAUUGCCUUUUAUAGGGAUAGUGGCAAUAGAAGAUGAAGAUCCAACAAUGCAGUAUAUAACAGUCCUAGUGUCCAACAAUAUUAUACCAUAAUUCUUUCGAUUGUUGUAAGAAAAAUACUCAAGCUAACAACUAUUUGAAAGGUUUUCUUUGUAGUUGCAAAGGCAUCCAAGAAAAUGGCAACAGAAAUAAAAGUUUAAAAAUAUAAGUUGGUUUUAUGCAUAGGCAUCCAACCAAGUUUUCCUACUAGACAGACAGACAUGACAACAACAACCAAGUUUUCCUACUAGAUGAGAUUGGUUACAUGGAUUAAUUAACUAAAGCCAAAAUGUUCUCUUGUGCGUUAAUUCAAAGAUAGAUCAUAAAACAGUCAAAUUCCACUAUGUUAAUUCAAACAGCUUCCUCUUAAAACCUCAAGGGUUUGCCGGUUGGUGAAAGACUUGGACAUGAGUCUGCUCCUCUCAAGGUCUCAAGUUCGAAUUUCACUAGGUGCUAACAAUCCUUGUGUUGGGUCAAUCCAUACAGAGCUUUGCUCUGCCUUUAAAUGGCCCCCCCGAUAGUGGACGGUGGGAAUGGUCCCCUUUGAUUAGUCACUCUCAAGGCCGGAUACCAAGUUUUCAAAAAAAAAAAAAUCAGCUUCCUCUUAUUUUCCUGACCACAGUAUUACUCACCAGCUGAAUGAGAUAGCAUAACAAAAUUCCUAAGGUCUGUCCUAUUGUUAACCACAAAAAUACAAAUACAUACGCUAAACGGAGCCAAGACAUAGUACCAACACUCAGCUGACUACAGAAACAACUAAGGAGGAUCAGAACUAGUCACCACCAAACAUCGACCCUGACUAAUUCAAAAAUUUUAAGCCAUGACUUUCCUUUUCUGUUCACAAAAAUGUUAGAUGCAAUGUUUGAAGCGUUCUACCCUGCAUUUAGUUGUUAAUCCCUAUCAAUGUAAGUAAAUGCACCUUGCAAAUCUCCAUUUAUACUAGAUAGCUAUAACCAAAUCAAUAUGCAAUUUAGGAUUUCUUUUACUUAUAGCAGUUGUUUUACAAAAAGAAGAAGGCUUAAAGGCUUUUAAAAGGGAGUUCAUUUUUUCUUAAUAAAAGAUGUUUUACAGUUUCUCUUGAAUGCAAUCCAAUUGGUGACCAAAAAAACCCAGCCUCUAUUGAGUUUACUAUCUCCUAUACUGUUUGAACAUACUUUCACGUAGGAUUUAACAAGGCUCUCAAAUUAUUUCAGAUACUGUUUUUUUAGUUACACAUUUUCCAUCUCGACCAUCACUCAUAUGUGCGCUUUACUAAAAUCGUCAUACCCCGCUCGCCUUACUAUCAAUUAAGUUAAAUUAAAUGUAAAACAAACACACAAAAAGCGCAAUCUCAAAAGUCCAUCACCUAGACACUAAAUCAAAUCCAAGUUUCACAAAAAAACACAAUACACAUCAUCAUCAUCGUCAUCAUCAUUAUCAUCUAUGUAACAUUAAAUAUUGAUUGUAUUCUCAGGUAAGAUAUGAGUAUCAACCAUUUAAAAAAGUUCCUAACAAGUAAAAGAAAACUGAACAAUACCUGGUAAGAAGGUCCAAAAGCUAACCCAGUUAGCUUGGCUUUAUCCUCUCUUGGUCUAUUCUUCAUCAACUCAUCUUGCUUCACUUCAAUCACUUCCACCGGAACCUCCUUCCUACCUCUCUUCCCAGUAAACUUCAACACACUCUCACUAAUCGCAGAAUCCUCCGGGGCCAUUGGCACCGACCUAUCAACCCAUUUAUUUUCAUACUGUCCAUAAUCCUCAUAGGCACCGUAGUUCGCAUACCCAUCACCAUUGGAAGCAGUGCCAGUGCUAGCACCAGAACUCUCAUACUGGUCAGUUGGAUAUUGGUAAUUCCCAUAACUAUCAUACUGGUCAGUGGCAUAUUGGUAAUUCUCAUAAUUUUCAUAAUCCCCUCGGUUUUGAUCUUCAGGAACAUUGCUCUCUGCGGCGACUGAGACAGAGACACCACCGGAACUUGGCUCCGGUGCUGGUGUGUUAGUUUCGAGGAUGGAUCUCCGGCCGGAACCUGAGCUUGAUUGAACACCAAGAGUGGAAGAGUUUCGCGGGGCUGGAAUGCUGGACAAAAAUGAUUUCACCGAUGGAGCUUGAAUGGAAGACUCCAACUUUCUUCUUCUGUUUCGUUCUUCUUCUUCGUCAUCAUCUUCAUCCUCUUCAAGAUUGGGUUUUGGUAAAGGAAUGAUUGGGGGUUUGAAUUGGACGACUCUUUUGGGUUUUUCAUGGAUUUGGGAUUUAGGUUUUGGGAGAGAAGAGAUUCCGGUCAAAUUGGAGGGGGCGGCGGAAAGUGUGUCGGAAGAGGGUUGUUUGGGAGGAGGAAGAAAGUUGAAGAGAGAAGAGGAAGAAGAUGAUUUGGGUGGAGGAAGAGUGGGGAAGAGGGAGGAAGAAGACGAAGUUGUUUUGGACGGGAUUGGUUGUUGGUGGUCUUCGUCUUCGUCUGAAGAGGCGUAAGUUGCUAGCAGAGAAUCCAUGGCGGCGAUGACGACGGAAACACGAUUGGAAUUAGCAGCAGCAAAUUUUUCUGAUCGAUUAACCCACUCAACCCUAGAUAUGCCUUUGCUAUUGCUGCGUUUUGUGUUUUUUUUUUAUGGUUUUAGGUGUAUUUGAAAAGUUUUUUUAUGGUAAAUUUAUUUGUGUUGUUUAAUCAAAAUUAUUACAAAAUACUAAAUAUUUUGGUUUAGGGAAGAAACAAGAUUUAAAGUAGAGUUUGGGUUAGUGUAUUAUAAUCAUUUAUAUGUGGUAUUUUAAAUGUGAUUAAAGUAAAAAUUAAAGAGUUAUGAUUAAUUAAUAGUGUAAAUUAUGCAUAUCAAUUAAAAAAUUUAUGGUAUUUAAAAAUAAAUAAAAAUUAUUCUCAUUUUAAUAGGAGUAUUAACAUAUAUAAGACGAAAAGUUCACUUGGACCUCCUUUGAAGAAUAACAUUCAUAUGAUUAAGUUUUUAGUGCCAUAUGAAGAAUAACAUACACAUGAUCAAGAAUAAUCUCGUUGAUGCGAUGUCUAAUUGAUGACGUCAAGACAAAAUGUAAUUCUUCGGUUAUGGACCUAAAGAAGGUUUAAGGAUCUUAUGAACAAGAAUGAAAUUGCCUUAAGAAAAUACAUGCUUAUAAAAUUUGUUUGAAGGAUGACAAUGAUAUAACAGAAUGAGUAAUAUUGUGGUAUAUGUCUCUUUGUACAACUAUCAUGCACAAGAAAUUCUUAAAUCCCAAAGAAACCAUAUGAUGUGACUAUAAAAGGAAAGUCAGUAUGUCAAAUUCCUAGACUGACUUGGAGAACACAGUACAAAUUCCUAAGAAUCAACCCAAAUAUGAUUUCCUCACACUUACAUGAGCAACUCCGAUCUACACCAGAUCAUUAACAUCGUCUGUAUCAAACGUGCAUUAAUAUUUCAAUGUGUUACUCAACAUGAGAGUGUUGAACCGUAGGGACAGAAUCACUUAAAACUUUAACCUUCCUUGUUGAGUCGUAGCUAGUAAGAUCAUUUAGAUUAACCUUAACUUUAACAAUGGACUAACUUUAUCUUCCCCACAUCAGGAAAUUUGGAUUCAUCUAUCUCCAACGUUUACAACAAUCCUUAUUUCUCCACCACACCUUGAACUUGUGCCACCUCAAAUGUCUCUCUACGAGUUGAGGAAACCCUGCAGAAAAAUCUCAAUAAAAGUUUUAAUGUCAAAACACUUGUUUAAAAAUUGAGAUAAUAAAUAAUUUGAAAUUGCAAAUGAAAGAGGUGAUUUGAAAUCUGAAAGAUAAGAGUAUUUAUAGGAGCAUUACACCUUUUUAAAAAGAGUCAAGAAUAGAGUAAACCAAAAUUUCCCUAAUCAGGGAAUCAAUUUCCACGCGAUGAAUUUGUAUAGGCUAAUAAUGUUGGGGUCAUAGAUGCCAAGAAGUUGAGAAAAGGCAAUGAUGAAAUAUUGUCUCGUUAUGGUACAUGUAUAAGCCUAACUUUUUUUUAAAAAGUAAGAAGGUGAAAGAAUAUAGAUCCAAUCCAAUAGUUGAAGAAAGGAAUCUAAAGGCCUCUCAACCACCGGUGAACAUAUAAUAUGUCACUAGAAGCCACAUCGUUUAAGAAAAGUAAUAGAUUUCGUCACACUUUGUAAUCAUACUAUACUUGUCAAAAUAAGUGUCAAUUUAAAGUAAAAAUCAUUUAAAGUUUUUGCAUACAUAUUAAGGAGUGAAAUAAAAUUGUCAAAAUAAGUGACAUUUAAAGUUUUUGAAUACAUAUUAAGGAGUGAAAUAAAAUUGUUAAAAUAUACUAUAUUUUUUCUAAAUUAACUUUAUUAAUGUGUUGGAAUAGUGUAUAUGAUAUGACUUAAAUUCUAUAAUUGAAAUAGGGUCAGUGGAUAACUCAACUAGUAUGUGUUAUUUGAGUUAAAUGUAUGUAAGUUGCUGAUCCAUGAUUCGAUUCCUGUAAACAAAUUGUUGAUAUUUAUAAGUCAACAACUUUAAAAAAUAACAAUUAAAAUGAUAUCAAUCAUUUUUAUUUCUAUAUUAAGAAGUGAGAAUGACAUUAAUUUUGAAAGAAAUUUUGUUUCCUAAAACAACACUCACUUUGAAAUGUAGAGAAUAGUUUAUAAUUUUCAUAAUACAUCAUUAAAAUCUUUGAAAUCAUUUCAAUGUUAUUAAAAAGUAAAAAGAUGUAUAUUUUAUAAUUAAUCGAUUUAUUUUUAGUAGAAAUACGAGUAACAUGUAGAGGUACUUAGGUACCAUUGGUGCCCAUGAGAGUAUGAGCCUAAGUAAAAGCAUUUUGUCAAACUACGAAUAUGCAUACAUGUGCUACAAUAUCCGACCCGUUGUCAUCUAUAGAAAGACUACUUAAAAGAACAUGAAGGUAAAAUCACUUUGUUAUUUUUAAAUAAUAAUCACUUUAUUGUUAAAAGAUUUAACAUUUGUAUUGACUUUAGAAUUCAUUUAUUAAUUAUCUAUUUACUCUACUUUUUUAUUUUAAAAUCACAAAGUUUGACACGCCGCAAGUGUAUGUCAAUAUCGAAGUAGUAAAAUGGUUGUCGUACCAUAGAGACCAAAUAAUUGAUUAUCGAUUUCUAUCUUAUCGUUGUUUAGAUAAAGCGAUAAAAAAUGAGUUUGGGAUUAUAUUUUCUGUUAAGAAAUAAGAAGCUUAAAACAUGACAUAGGGUGGAUGAUUCAUAUCCAAAAAGACUCACGUGAUCUAUAGUUCUAUCAUGAGAAACAUAUCAAAUUAUAGAAAAAUAAAGAAAAUUAGACAACACCUAAUUUCGUUAGCGGGUUGUCUUGUCUCAAAUAAAUAAUUUAUCCACUUUCAUCAGCCCAAUUUAUUUGCUAGAGAUUAGUUUUACGCAACUAUAAAAGUGGAGCUUUCACAACCGAGUUUGAGAUAUUUUCGUUGUCUCGUACUCAGAUGUCUAGAACUCCGCUUUCGAAUACCAAAAUACACCCUUUCAGUGUAUGAUCGGUAUAUGAAAUGUCCUUACUUUUGUAAAUGGCAUAUGCGUUAAAAGCUUAUAAUUCUAAAAUAAUUUUUGGUUUUGUUUCUCAUAAGAAAAUAGUAGAGGGUUUCAUAUGAGGUAUAUCACGAGACAAUCCUCAUGACCCUUAGUCCCUAAGAGACUACUCGCGCAUGUUUAUCAGUAAAACAAAUAAAGUAUACAUGGUAUUAGUAUACAUGAUAACAGAAAACAAUAACAAUAAUAAGUAAAAUAGGAACCUUAUUUGAAACCAAUAAAUAAUUUGAAUAGAAAACCUUCAAUGGAGUUCUUUAGUACAGCAAUACAAGUAGCUUUAACUGAAGAAAAAUGUAGGAAAAUAAAUUGUGUAAACUAAAUGCAAUUCUAAGGCAUAAGAUAUCUUGUUAACCCUUAAUUCCAAUUAUGAAUAGGCUAAUCCCAUUACUACAAGACUUAAUUUCAUGUCCUUAUAUGUUCAUGGGUGUUUCUUUACAAAACAAAACAAUCAGAAUCAGAAAAGGUGGGAGAAAAUGCAACAAAAGAAAAAAGGAAAUCGUAAUUGCCUGGGGCUGCUACUGCAUGUAGGCGGUGCUACGGCCGACGCAUAAUAGAUCCCUGGAUUUUUGUAUGGAGGUCUUCUGGGGGACAUUUCGGCCCGUAGCCUUUGCUACGGUCAGCCUGUAGUGACCCCUUAGAUUUUGUAUGGAAAAAGUUACCUUCUUUGAUCUUCGGUGAUUUUUGCUCCCCUCGAUUUCUCUUUUGUUCUAUGACAUUCUUUCUAGUUUGAAAACUGAGAAAACGAAUAACCACACAUAAAAAGUGAUAAAAACAAGGAUUAAGAUGACUAAAAAUCAAAUGAAAAAUUACUAAGAAAACAAUGCAAAAACCACUUAUCAAACUCCCUCAUCCUUAAAUUGUUGCUUGUCCUCAAGCAUAUUGGCUUUGCAUAGGCAAAAUUCUGACAACAUAAAUCAACGAAUAAAAGGUCAUAAAGGUGUUAUCACCCAUACUCAUAUGUGAAUCCUAGUUUGAAUCGAUCAAACGUUAAUUCUCUUGGUACUCAAUUUAACACCAAAGGCUUUGUAAGAACACAAACUAUAAGAAUGCAUAAUAAAGUCUCCCUCCUUAAAUACCAAUUCAACUAUGCAUUGGCCUUAAGUCUCUACAUACAAUUUUCUUUGUGUCGCGUGACUUUAAUGAAAUUCUGCAAGGUCUCUUCCAACUAUGACAUCUUCCGUUGAAACAAAGCUUGUUGGCUUUGUUGCAUCCCUUAGCUAGCAUUGUAACUCUGGUUAUGGCUCCAAUGGAAUUUUGGGUGAUUUUUCCAACCCAGAUUGUAUAUGUUGGAAUACAGGUUGUUCUUUUGAAAAUUAGCAAAUUAGACCUCCUCACUUGUCUCUUCCAACGAACACCUUCCAUUCGCAUGUUCGUCUCCACAUAAAUCACACCUAAGUGCUUGUACAUGGCUCACGUUAGCUCUACCUAAGUUGCCUUCAUCUAGCUUUUUAUUCAAUAAUUCAAUUUGAGCUAAAAGAGCAGUAUGGGUAUCAAAAGGUAACUUACCUUUAGGCGUGCCCACAGUUUCAAGCUUGACCGACCUUUCACUUUUCGAACAGUAUUCAUUCAUACACAUCUUCUAUAUAAGGUCUUUUACUUAUGGUUCAAUCAUUUGACGUAUAAUACUUUCUACGGAAGCAUCCAAUAACAUGCGAGUUUGACUCCUAAGACCUUUGAUGACGUUUUGCAUCUGCUCAAUAUUAUUCAUAUUGUGAUGCGGGCAUCUACGCAAUAAAAGUUUGAAUCUCUCCCAAGCGUCAUAAAGUGACUAAAUUUCCUAUUGCUCAAAAUUAAUAAUUUCUGCUCGACGCUCGAUAAACUGAGUAGUGGUAAAAAAUAUUUUCAAGGAAUUUAUCCUCCAAUUCCUUCCAAGUUAGGAUUAUUCCAUUCGGAAGGCAAAACAACCAAUAUUUUGCCCUUCCAAUCAGUGAGAACUCAAACAACCUCAAUUUAACUUGGCAUUCAGUGACAUCAGGUUAUUUUCACAUUGAAGUUGUUUCAUAGAAGCGUGCAAGAUGCGCCCAUGGGUCUGUAAUUGCAUUCUCGUCGAACAAAAUUUAUUGUAAACCUGAAGGUAAAGAAUUUUUAAUAUCAAAGUUAGCAAGGUCUAUCGGUACAAACCCCUUAAAAACAUGUCCUUCAUCAGUCCGUUUACAGUAGUCCCCUGUAGUAAGGGGUUGUGCAUCUGCCAUGACUUAUUCUUCAGAGUCAGAAGAACUUGAUAGUUACUCUUCUUAUGGUAUUCCUCCGUCCAGAGCUGCUUCUCUAACUGUUUUUUCUAAGAGUACGUGCGAUUCUUUCAAUUUCUGGAUCCAAUGGAAUUAAUGGUGAUCCUGAACUGUGCAUACAUAAACUAAAAAUACCUUAGUAGAACUAUGAUAAACAAGAAAUUAAAAUAAAAAUUAAAAUGACUAAAAAUAAAAACAAUUGCACAAACGUCGCCUUGUUAAAAAAUUAACAGUCCCCGACAACGAUGCCAAAAACUUAUUGACUUCUCGACAAGUAUACUGAUAAUGUCAAAGUAAUAAAAAAGGAUCGAAUCCACAAGGACCGCCUCCAAGUAAGAUAAAAUGUAUGCAAUUUAUAAAAACUACUAAAAAUGGGGGUUUCUAGUUUCAGCGUGAAAAGUAAAUAAACGAGUAAACAAUGUCACGAAAGCGAUCAGGUUGUGUUUUAGAAUCCUAUAUUCCUCUAUUGUUGAUGUUUGAUGCCCUGUAUGAAUGACUUAAUCACUAUAACCCCAUGACGAAUUAACAAAACAAUUAUAGUCAAUCCCUCAUGAAAUAACUCAAUAACCAUUACUCGAAGAUUUAUAUCCAUAGUCACUACGCCAAAUAAGGGAAAAGAGGGCGCUUAUUUUGGCCUAUAACAGUGCUUUUAAGCGCCCUCUAAAGUGGCGCUGACAUAGGUAAAGACAGCGCUUUGUUUUCCUGGAGAAAGCGCUGUCUAAAGUGGCCCUUUAAGGGCCAUAUUAUAGUGCGCUUUCAGAAAAAAACACCCUCUGGAGUGGUCCAUAAAGGGACACCUUAGAGGGCGCUUUCUGGAAAAAGCGCCCUCUAAAGUUGUCAAUGUAAAGUGUUUAGAGGGCGCUUUCUGGACAAAGCGCCCUCUAAAGUUGUCAAUGUAAGUGUUUAGAGGGCGCUCCUCAAAGCAGUCCUCUAAAGUGUUAAUUAUUUUAAAAAAAUUGUUUGAAAAGAGUGAUAUUAAUAUGUAACUCGUUCGCAUGCUGCAACAAGUGUAAAAUUCAUAUUGAUUCACUUUAAUCCAAUGUAUGACACCAUUAACCAUUUGAAUACAACAUGAAUCCAUUUAUAUACAAACAUUAAUUCCUCGCAUAUAUACAACAUUAAUAUAUGAUUCUUUUGAUACAAUAUACAACAACAUAUUCAAGAUUAGUAAAGUCAAAACAUAUCACUAAAUAUAUACAACAACAGCAAUACAACAACAACAUUCCAUAACAUAAUGAUACAACAAAUACAACCUGCGUAUGAUUCUUUGAUCACAACUGAAUUGACACAUUCAUCCUCUCAUUUCAUCCAAAUGAGCUGUCUUUGAGUAGAUUUAUUCCUCAAAGUAUACAAAUUCGGAGAAGGAAACGAUGAGUUCUGAUUUAGUGAACAAAUCUUAGCAUGUCAAAUAUCUGAUAAUAUUAAAAUAAAUCCCUAAGUUAUUUAUUCCCUACCUUUUGGAUGAUCUAAUACAUUACAACGCAGAUGAUAUCCUCAAUAAAUCAUCGAAUACAAAAAUCAUCGCAACGACCGAAUUCGUUUUGCUGAGACGGACACUACAACAGAAAAACAAACAGAUAUUAUAGUUAAUUCUUACAAACAUCUUAUAAGCACAACAAAACAAACCACUUUAUAAAAAAUGAGAAAUACUGUAAUAUUAUACCUGAAAUUCUGGAACCAGUGGUAACUGUCCUUCUAUAUACCGAAUGGUAGUAAGUAUUUUAAACAAUUAAAAGAGUAUAAUGCAUAAAUAACAUAUUUUCUACAUUAAAAAUAUUAUAUAUGUAUAUUCCAAUACAAUAAUUUUUCCAUCAGAAGAAACAAGGACAAUAAUUGAAAUAGGAUUGGUGAAAUAUUCUCGUAAUUUUUCAGUCUUAACAUCAACUAAAAGAAUAUUUAAAAAUUAUAUGAAUCAAAAUAAAUACAAACUAAGCCAAUUAAAAGAAAUAUUCAGAAAAUUCAUAACAAAGGAGGUCAUCUGUAUACGGUCCCAAUACAUUUUCUAACCUACGCUGAUGGUUGGUACGAAGACUCGUUCUUAGUUACGGGAUGAAAGCACGCUAUUCCAUGGUCAGAUGCAGUCAAUGCUCUGACCCUACCUGAUAUUCAAAACGGAAUGCCAUGAAGAUUAAAAUAUUUUAUAAAGGAUUCCCAAUAGGUAAUGAAUCUACGAGCACUCUCACAGAGUUCAAGAGAUCUGUCUUCUCUCUCCGGACUGACGUCAUCUGAACUGGUCACCAAGUUCAACGAUCACCAGAACAAGAACAAAGAAAGACAACAUAGAUUAACAGAAAAAAUCUCAGGAGCUGUGAACCUUUCGCAUUAACAAUAUUAUACAUUCCAAAUUUCUCCUAAGUAUAAUGAAUAAGACAAAACAAGUUUGUCCAUUGAUGAAAGAUAUACAAUACUGAUAAUUUGUUCAAAUGGAUAUACCUCUAUAUAGAAAGAAUCAUCUUUAACUCUUCCUAUAUUGGCAGUCAUCUCAGCAAAUCCUCACAUCAUCAAGAAGAGAAAUGAAAUGAAAAAAAUGAGAGAAUCGAACAAGAAAAGGUUUCUGAGAAUUCUCACUUCUAGUGAAUUCAUCGCCAGGCGCCAAAUGGAUCUAUAACAGGUGGAACAUAUUCAUCUUAACAGAAAGUUGGAUAUUUUCGUUAAUAAAAGUUGAAUGAAGUAUAGUACGGGAAAGCAAGCCAUCAUCAAGAAUUAGCCUGGACUAGCCUUCAAUUUUGUGGCUUUGUACGCCUUUGAAUCUUCUCAGUCCCCCUGUACAGAACAAAGAUUUGGGAUGCUAAAGAUAUUCUCCUUAGAUAUUUCUAAAUACUCUUAAAUAAGAACAUAUAACAUUAGAACAACUACUCAAUUCGAAGAUCCUGUUAAAUAAGAUGCUCUCAACUCAAUACAAUCCCGUAGAAGUGAUCGCGAUUGAAACCCCUCGGCCGAGUACCAUAUGUAUGUAUGAAUGACAGCGAUGCAUCAUUCUUCCUUGUUUUCAAAAAUUGUUGGAUGUCCGCCUUUUCUGCAAUUACUUCAGAGCCAUGAGCAUUCCGACACACCCCUUCAUCAAAAAUCGUACCAUAGUAAUGUGAUUCGGCGCCCUGCAUCAAUAUCGGCUCUUCCAUCCUUUUGCGAAGCCGCCGCCGAAAAUCUGAAUAAUUGAAAUUAUUUAUCGCCGCGACGUCGUUUGGAAUAUCCUUACCAGCUAUUUUUUCAACUUUCGACCGGAAGCCUAAAAACUCAUAUAAUAAAUCAUGACUUUUUUGAAUGCAACAGAAAUCGUUGGUUAUAAUUCAUGGGUUAUAUUGUACUCUUUUUAGAUGCACCGACCGAUGCCUCUUGAAUCCCUUUACAGCCUUUAGGUGUGGGUUUGUAGGAGUCUAAAUUACCAUGUAAUACAGGAUUGAUUAAAUAUAUAUUGUAGCUGAAUUGAAACUGUGAUACUAAUAUUCUGAAUCAUUUGAACAUAUUAUAUACUCGGACUGGGAAAGAUUAGAUCUGACGGCACUCCAACAAAGGCAUCCGAUCUGAUCUGACGCUCAUCAACGUUGUCGCAUGAAACACGUUAGGUAAGGGUAGCAAGCGCGUUCGACCAGGAGUACUAUAUACAAAGGUCAACCGAAACUUUCAUAUGCCCCGGAGAGAUAUAGGGAAGUAAUAUCACACCGAAGUGUGUACCACUGGUGUCCCUAAGCGAAUAUGCGAUAAGUUGAGGCAGUCGAUAGUACAAGCUGACAAAGUUAAUGCCUACCACAUAAUAAAUGUUAUGUUAACUGUAUAUUCGUCAAGUAAAAGUGCUAUGUUAAUUUGGAAGAAAAACUAAUAACAUUUAUUACCUCGUAAAUUUCCGGUUGACUAAUUGAUCUAGCUCGGUCAUUAGCUAUUUUUGCUCGCAACGACCUGCUUCCUCUCGCUAUACCUUGACUUUCUCUUUGCAGUUCGGAGAAAUUACUUUGCCUUAUACUCCAUCCCGAAGUCCCAUCACUCUUUUGUGGUUAGGAUUUUUUGCUUUUGUGUUUUUUUUAUAAAUGACGACGGGGUCACACCAAAACCUUACCCCUCAACACAUCCGGAAUACUCUAGGAACAUUUAGUACUCGAUCAAGUACGCUCCGUGCCCAUCGCUGGACCUCGUGAAGGUAAGGUUUGGAUAAAGUCUCCUGAAAAUACUUAAUUAGAGCGAGAUUAAAAAAUGAAUUAUAUGUCUAACAAAUUUCGAUACGCUUAAGUUAAAGGAUAUAAUGUUACAUAGUCUUACACAUUCGUCAUAAUAACAUUUUAGACCGCUUCAACAACGCCUUCCUUCAACCACCGAGCAGCCUUCCAAGAUAGUGCUCCGAAGAGAGUGUUGCCGUCACUUUUCUCCUCGGCUAGCUACACAAUUGAAUCAUUAUUGAGAUCAUCAAUUAAACAUAUUGUGACAUGUAUAGCUAUGAGCAUCCUUAAUAUACUACAGCAUUUUUUGUAAACGCUGCAUACUCCCGUACGGCCUUUUUUGUCGUACGGUACGGGGUUUUGAUUGCCUUUUUCCGGAUAUUCUUUGUCGCUUACGUUCGCUGGAUAAGAAAACGUUGAAGCUAUUAGAACCAGUAACUUACAAUUGUAUUAAUACCAUAAUUAAAUAGACAUUACAUGGAUUUUCGUUCUUGUCUUGGCAGACAAGUUAUCCCAUUCUUCGGCUGAAUAUCCCGCGUACUUCAUUGGCAGAAUUCUGCUAUCAACCAGGUUCUCCAUUCCCUAAUCCGUUGAAAAAUGUUCGCUUGGACCAAAAAAGGAUCGAUCUGCGAUUUUCUUCGGCCAAGUUGAAAUACAAUAUUUGCCCAGGUGCUUUCAUCGAGGAAGUGAAAGGAUUCCUUAAAAAAUACAAAUGGAGUGUGUUAUACUAUAAUAAUAUUAUAUCAAAUAUAUGGUUAAAUAAGUCAACAAAAAAAAGACUAUAAUAAUAUUAUGCGUAUAGUACCUCGUACUGCGUACCUAUUUUUUCUUUGCCAACUUCAUUCCGACUUACCUCCAUUAUCACAUGUAAUCGGAUAUGUUUGCUGCGAUUCCAAUUGUAACUUGCCANNNNNNNNNNNNNNNNNNNNNNNNNGUGACAAGGUGUAAUGCCCGUGAACCAAUUAGUAUGUUAGUUGUUAGUGUAGUACUGUGGCAAGUAAAAGUGCUAUGUUAAUGUUCAGAAAAACUAAUAAAUUUAAUUACCUCGGAAAUUUCCGGUUGACUAAUUGAUCUAGCUCGGUCAUUAGUAUCUUUUGGCUCGCGAAACCUGUUCCUCUCCUAUACCUGACUUCCUUUGCAGUUCGGAGAAUACUUGUGCCUUUUAUCCAUCCCGAAGGUCUCCAUCACUCUUUUGUGGUUAGAUUUUUUGUUUGUGUUUUUUUUUAAAAUGACGACGGAGUCACACCAAAACCUUACCCCUCACACGGACCGGAAUACUCAGGGAACAUUUAGUACUCGACUAAGUACGCUCCUGCAUCCUGGACCUCGGUUGAAGGUAAGGUUUGGGAUUAAAGUCUCCUGAAAUAUUAUUAGAGGAGAUUAAAAAUGAAUUAUUAUGUCUAACAAAAUGUUUCGAUAUAGUUAAAGGAAAUAUAUUGUUACAUAGUCUUACACAUUCGUCAUAACAUUUUAGAACCGCUUCAACAACGCCAUUCUUCGCCACCCAGCAGCCUUCCACAAUGUGCUCCGAGAGAGAUGUUGCCGUCACUUUUCUCCAUCGGGCUGAGCUACAAAUUGAAUCAUUAAUUAGAGAUCAUCAAUUAAACAUAUUGUGACAUGGUAUCAGCUCAUAGCAUUUAAUAUACUCACAUUGCUUUGUUGUAAACCGUGCAUAGUCCCGUACGGCCUUUUUUGUGUACGACGGGGUUAUUGAUGCCUUUCCGAGAUUUUUGUCGCUUGACGUUCCUGGAUAAGAAAAGUUGGAAUAUUAGAACCAAGUAACUUAACAAUUGUACUAAUACCAUAAUUAAAUAGCAUUACAUGGAUUUUUCGUUUCUUUCUUGGCGACAAGUUAUCCCAUUUUCGGCUGAAGUAUCUCCGCUACUGUCAUUGGCAGAAUUCUGCUAUCAACCAGAGUUCUCCAGUUCCCUAAUCCGUUGAAAAAUGUUCGCUGGACCAAAAAGGAUCGAUCUCGUCUUCUUCGGCCAAUUGAAUACAAUAUGUUUGCCGGCUUCAUCGGAAGUGAAAGGAUUCUUAAAAAAUACAAAUGGAGUGUGUUAUAUUAUAAUAAUAUUAUAUCAUAAUAUAUGGUUCAAAUAAGUCAACAAAAAAGAUAUAAUAAUAUUAUGCGUAGAGUACCUGUAUUCUGCGACAUUUUUUCUUUGCCAACUUCAUUCCGGACUUCCUCCAUUAUCACAUGUAAUCGAAUAUGUUUGUCGACAAGAUUCCAAUGUAACUUGCCACAUUUGAACCGUUUAUAGCUUUCAAUAGUUGGUCUUCGCAUUUCAAUGUACUUCGAAUUUUUCACCCUUGUCUCUUGCACGAAUGAAUUGAUUCAUAACAAGUAUCCUCGUUUGUAUUCUUUUUCAACAUUGUUACGUGAUCCAACAUCGCGUAUGGGGUAUCGUCUGGUUUAGCUUUGUAUAGUAGAAAUGAUUCAAUAAGACCCAAGUAAGCAAUGAACCAUAUUCGGCUGGAAGCUACACAAAAUAAACAUUUAACUUCUAUUUAUCUCAUUGUUACAACAAUCUAAACUUCUUUUUUUUCAUCAUUAUUUUGAAAUUACAAACUCACACCACUACUGCAUACAAAAGACCAGCAACUGUUUGGUGUUUGGAAACAUGAACAGAACUUGCAACCAUAAUCAGCAAACUUCCAGAGCACAAGCUCAAACCACUCCAGAAUGACAGUCGUUUUCAAUCAGAAAUAAAAAACCCUUCAAACAAGGUGCUCAGGCCCACCAUUCAGGCUCGUUUACCCUUAACAACAUUAAUCAACAUAAUGCACAAAAUGUUAAAUCGUUUAGAAAUUGCCCUAAUCAAACACCGAAGAAUGUGACGGUAACGAUAAGAAUGGGAUACCUUCAAGGGUGACGGUAACGAUGGAGAGAAAAGUGAAGCAGCGACGGUGGAGAACGUCAGAUAACUCGAGUGAAAGCGUGAACGACAGCAGCCAGAAACAAGGCACGCGACGACGACGACGGUGAGGAGGGAGAACGAACGGAGGACGUAGAAGUCAAUCGCAUGAGAGUAGUCGCAGUAGAGAGAUAUAACCCAGUUACAUAAACGAAAUCAGCAUAUAGAGAGGGGAAUAAAACGAAGACAUGAUAAAUAUGUUAUAAUUUAAUGUUUAUGUAAAGGGCGGACAACUGUAGAGGCGCUUGUUGUAAAAAGCGCCCUUAAAGGGGGCCUAAGAGGCGCUUCACUAAAAAGCGCUCUCUAAGGCUUUCCAAAAGCGCUUUUAACUGGAAAUGUACAUGGACUUAGAGAGCGCUUUUUUAAAGCGCCCUCUAAUAGGUACCUUAGAGGGCCGCUUUCAUUAAACGCGCCUCUAUUGCGUUCCAUCAUUUCCUCUAUUUUUUCGCUUCACUUUAGAGGGCGCUUUGUUACAAAAGCGCCCUCUAAAGUGCGUUGUCUAUUCCUCCUUAUUUUUCUCUUCACUUUAGAGUGCGCUUCUUUAAGAAAGCGCCCUCUAAGGUGCACUGUCUAUUCUAGUUUUUGGCAUAGUGAGUCCACUAGCGUAAGUAGGGUUAGGCGAUGUGUAGAACGUUAAUUCUCUAUGCCACUACUCGGGGUCUACUAUCCUUAUUCAACCAGCAUAAGUACAACAAUUGCCCUAGGUCCAACACAUAGACUAAUGGUCAAUAUUCCCUAUGUGCCCAAAAUCAUAUUAAAAUAUCAUCUCACAUAAAGAGCAUUAUGAGCAAGAAGCAAUUGAAUAAGAUUAUAGAUCAAUAGGUUCAUACAAUGGUCAAAUCAACAUAGAAUCCAACAAUAUAGAAAUAGGUUCAUCAUAACACAACCUAACCUAGAGGAAUUUAGCUACUCAUAGUGCAAUUAACAAUACCAUAAUUGAUAAAUAAAAAUAACAUGAGAAGUCCCUUGAAGUGAUGCCCUCCAAUGGCUUCAAAUGCUCUAAAAAUCUCCCUUGUGCCCUCAAAAUCGCGCUUCAAUCUCCAAAUUUUGUAACUCUUGUGAAAGUGCAAAAAAUCCCCUUUUAAAGGCGUUAUAAUGGACCAUAAUGCGUCAGAAAAAGCCCAGGAAAGUGACCAUUGCGUGCAUGAUACCUUGCAUUACGCGCGCGAUGCAACUUUAAAUGCCUUAUCGCAUGCGUGAUGGUGCACGAUGUUGUAUGUGAUUAUUCCAGUGGUUGCAUGCUUUUGCACCUUUUUCACUCACAUUUUCAUUAAAUCCACAAUUUGCACACUUAGCUAUUUUCCCCUCAUUCUUUGGUCAUUCUUCUUCAUAUUUUCUCGACUUUCACUUAUUUUACUCUAAUUCUUCAACUAAAUAUAUGCAAUGAUGAAUUGUCAUCAGGCUUGUUUUUGGGGUGUGGUUCAUGGUGAAUAUGAAGGUUUAUGGUGGUUAAGAAUGGUGGUUUUAGGUUUUAGGUUGAAUAAUGUUGGAGAAGACGAGUGAAGAGAGAGAAAGGUGAUUAGAAAAUGAGAAGAAAAACUUAUCAUUUGGGGCAUUUAAAGAAAAUAAUUUUAUGUGAUUGGGUGGGAUAAUGGUGAGUGGGGUCCAUUUUAAAUGGAUAAAUUUGAAAUGGGAAAAGUUGAGGGGUGUUAUGGGUCGUAGCACAUGUUAUGGGCUACCUGAAGUAGACCCCUGGUCUUUAUAUAGGUGAAUGCUUACAAGAUGUUUGGGUUGCACUACAAGAUGUAGCGCAUACUAUGGGUCACCCGUACUGGCCCUCUGGAAAAUGUAUGGUGAGACGCCUUAGUGGGGUUAUAGGAUGACCGUAGCCUACCUCUGGUUUUUACAUGGGAUUUGGUAUUUGUGUGGGGUUUUAUCAUGGUUUUAGUAUCUGAUAAAAGUUAAUAAGGACAUUUGAAUUUUAACAAGGGAGUGGGCAAUCUAUUAAUUAGAUGGAUGACAUGUUAGACACAAAAAUUCCAUGUGUUAAAUGGUAUAUUGGAGUGGAAAUAUAAGGUCCUAGCAACAUUGAGAAUAUGUUGGUGUUUUAUCUUAACCACCCUAGUUUGUUAGGGUGUUUCAAGAUAAUACCUUUGAUGUAUUUUACCUUUCGAAAAAAGGAACUCAGAUAAGGCAACAAAUUUUGUGUCAUUAUCUGUUCUGAGACAUUUCAAAGAUGUGUGAAACUGGUUUUCUAUAUAGGCUACAAAUUGAAUGAUGAUACUUUUGACUUGGUCCUUUGUUUUAAAGAAAACAACCCAAUUAUAUCUACUGUAGUAAAUAUUUGUGUCAUAGGAAAUAAAUGGUAGAGAAUGGACCCGAUAAAUCAAUAUGCAAUAUAUCAAAAGGUGCACAAGAUUGAGUAGUACUAUGAGGAAAGGGUAAUUUUCUUUGUUUACCAAAAUGGCAAGGAUCAUAAGGAAUAUUAUUAUUCUUACAAGGAAUGAAUGGAAACAACCUUGAAAUAGUUUUCAAGCCUAUAUCAGAAAUGUGUCCCAGUCUAAAAUGCCAGAGAUUACAUGAACCAUUAACAUUGGAACUGCAAACUAAAGAGUGAUGUGUAGAGUCAAGAACAUACAACCCUCUUUGCAACUUAGUUGUACCUCAUUUACUUAGAAUGGUUAUGCAGGAUUUGACAGGUAUCGGCAUUGAAAUGCACAUAACAAUUAUUGCUACUUACAAGUUUAGCAAUAGGAAUCAAAUUAAAAUGAAAAUUAGCCAUAUAAAGCACAUUGUGCAGAGUUAGAAAAGGUGAAACAACUAAACUACCAGACAUAGAUGCAACAAUAUGGGAACCAUCAGGUAAAUUGACAUGGACAAGUAUGAUGUUUUUGUAAGUAAUGAAAGAAGUUUUGUCAAAGGAAAUGUGAUAUGUUGCGCCUGUAUCUAAAAUCAAGAGAUGUGAAUUCUUACCAUUAGGGUUGGAUGAAUGUAAGUUCAUGACAAAGGGGGAGGUAGAAAAGGAAUUGGCUUUAGGGUUGAGUUUGGACUGUUGGAGCAACUAUAUGAUGUUGUUGUACUGCUCUUGAGUGAAUCCAAAUGAUGAUGCAACUGAACCUUGUUGAGAAGAGUCAGAGGUGAUGUUAACUACAAUAGUGGAUUGAGGAUUAUUGCCAACACUUUGAGAUUUACUUUUCCCUUUGAAUCCUGAUGGGAAGCCAUGCUUGAUAAAACAAGUUUUAGUAGUGUGAUUCAUUCUGCCACAAUGAGUGCAUACACGGUUAUAACCUCUAGCACCACUAAAGCCAUGUGUCUUCCCUUUAGAAUAACUAGGGUUUCCAUUGUAAUUCCCUGAAUUUGUCUGAACUUGGAAUGUAACAAUAUCUUCAUUGUUGAUAGCAGUUGGAGUCACAUCAAAUAUCAAAUUGUUCAUCUCUCGUUCUUGUUGAAUAAUAAGGGAAAAUGCUUUGUCAAUGUCUGGUAAUGGAUUUAUCAUCAUUAUUUGUGGCUUGGAGUGUGUAAAAUUUUCAUUCAAUCCCUUGAGAAAACAAAUCACACAAUCUUGUUCACAAUAUUUGUGAACAGAGGAAAAAUAACCAUAAGAACAAGGGAUUGCGCAAGAACAAGCAAGAACAAGAUUAUAGUUAUUCAGUUCAUCCUAUAAAACUUUUAGCUGAGUAAAGUAGUUAGAAACAUCGAGAGUACCUUGAUGAAGCUUGUAGAGAUUGUAACACCUCAAUUUUAUUUAAAUUAUUUCCCGUAAUUUAAUUAUGUGAUAGUUUUGGUUGUAUUGUGUUGAUUGGUGUUUUGAUGUAUUGUGUACCCUUUGUGUGAGGUAGUUGCCUUAGAAAUUAAGAUGUUGGGGAGUGUGUGAGCAAAAAUAUAGAAAGGAUGGUGUGAUGAGUAAAACUAAUUAAUCAUAUUAGUUAUUAUUUAAUUAAUUAAUUAAUAUUAUAUGAAUAUUAAUUUAAUUAUUUAAUUUGAGUGAAUUAUUAUUAUUAUUAUUAUUACUAUUACUAUUACUAUUAUUGUUAUUAUUAUUAAGAAAAUAGUGAUAAUAUAAUAAGUUAAUAAAAUAAUAGGAUUUAUAAUAAAAAUAUAGAAGGGGUAUUGGGAUAGAAACCCAGUACGUAACAUUUGGGGAGAAAAGAGGAAAAGUAGAGAAAGAGAGAGGAAUAGGCUAGAGUUUAAGGGGAGAUUCACCGUUGUUGAAGGUUAAAGAAGCUAUUACUAGGAACUCUAAGAUAAGGAUGAAGUUCUGAUUAUCUAAGGGUUAACAUGAUGGUGGUGGGUAGAUUAUGCCAUGUAGGUUUUGUGUUUUCUUCUCUAUGUUAAAUUGUGAGAAUGAUGAAUAUGUUGAUGUUAAACCCAUGAAAUUUGAUUGAAUUGUGAGAAUGAUGAAAAUGUUGCUUUUAAACCCAUGAAACUUUAUUGAAUCGUAUGAAUGAUGAAAAUGUUCUUGUUCAACCCAUGAAACUUGAUUGAAUUGUGGGAAUGAUGAAAAAGUUUAUGUUAAACCCAUGAAAUUUGAUUGAAUUGUGUGAAUGAUGAAAAUAUUGCUGUUAAACUCAUGAAAUUUGAUUAGAUUGUGUGAUGUAAAAGUUGUGUAAAUUGAUGCGGUUUCGAGUCAGAGUUGGAAUGAUGAAUUAUUGCAAUUGUUGCUGUUGGGAGGUUUGAGGUACAUAUGAAUUAAUAAGAAUGAAUGAUUUUUUAUACUACUCUGUAAUAUAAUAUAAAUUUUCUGUUUUAAUCAAUGAAUAAUGAUAGUAUAUCGACUUCUGAGAUCAGAGGUUUUUACGGAGUCGAAAUCGGAGGUCCGGAAGGCAUCAAACGACAAAAAAUAGCUUUUUGGGCUGUUUUCGAAGCCCGUAACUGGUUACCGAUUUGAGCAUAAUUGAUUACCACUGUUACGUAAAAAAAUUGAGAAAUUGAAAAUGACGUAACUUGAGCUCCGUAACUCCGCUUGAUGCACGGUUCGAAGUGUCGGAAAGCUGAGAGUGUGUACUAUCAUUUAAAUUUGGUUUCAAUACCUAAAAAAUGAAUAUUUUUCUGUGUGAUGAUGUUGGAAUAUAUUAUACUAUUUAUGUGGUUGUGUGACAUAACCUUAAAUGCAUUGUUGUUGCUUAUUAUGUUGUAUGUUGAUGUUGUUGAGUUGUAUAACAUGUGUUUGAUGCAUGAUGUCCAGUAUUGGCGGUGUAUAUUGACUAUGAAGGUGAGUCAUUGUGCAUGAUAUUGUUGUUGCAUGUAUAGUAUGUUGCAUGCAUUCAUGUUGUUGAAUAGACUGUCAGUUUUUGGUGAGUCUCAAAUCUUAUUGUAUGGAUUCAGCAGUAGCCGAUUUUGGAGGUGAUGGAAUCAGUGAGACGUUAUCGGAGGUGAUGGUAAGAAAUUGAUGACUUUGAUCCUAGGAGGUGGGGAAUCGAAAUGGUGAACUUGAGUGUUCACGUAUUGGUACCACAUGCAUUGAGUCAAGUUGUUGAGUCUCAUUGCAGUACAUUGAUUGCAUUUGUUAUUAUGUUGGAUGGUUAAUUAUGUUGUUAUUAUGUUGGAUGGUUGAUUAUGUUGGAUGAUUAUUAUGUUGCUAUUAUGUGUGAAUAGCCAUUGUGUGGAUUAUGUGGAUUUGUGUUGUGGAAUGGGUGAUGUACAUGUAAUAAUCUGAUGCCUACUUAUUAUCAUGAUUUCCUUUAUAUAAUUAUGAUAUCUCAUUGUUUAUGUUCGAAUGUCGUCUCUACGCGGAUAACAUGCAGAUAAUCUGCAGUAGGAGUUCAGAUGUGAGUGGAAGAUGAAGUCUUCCAUUUUAUUUUUGUGUUGGCGUCUGCUCUGAUGUGUAACACCGGGGGAUUGGAAUGAUGUGUCUUUCUUUAUAUUUUAAUAUUUCUUAUAUGACAUGUUAUACUGAUGUUGGUUAUGUUGAGUUAACUGUUUGUUAUUGUUGUUCCGCUGCGAUUUAAUAAAAGUUAACAUUCAGACAUGUGGUUAUUACUACUAUUUUUAUAAAUACAAAGUGUUAUAUGUCUUUAUAACUGAGCAGGUUGAUUGUAUGUUGUAGUGUAGCAUCUUAAAUUGCAUGCUGUUUUGUUUACUCUGAUAAAUGUUUAAAAUUUACUCGGGAAAAAUUUAAGGUGUUAUAGAGAUCCUCAUGAAUGUCUGAAAUGCGGAAUAAAUCGAUAUGAGAAAAUCGAAUAUGCAAAUUUUUCCAGACACCAACGACACUAUCAUUCCAUAGCACAAAUUUGGCAAUGGAUUCUGAGAUCGAACGAUGAAGCCAAGCAAGGACCAUGGUGUUACAUAGAAUCCAUGAGCAUAUAAUGGAUAUGGUACCAGAGGUUUGGUUAGGGUUCCAUUAAUGAACUUCUCUUUGUUCUUGGAAAUCAAAGCAAUGUGCGUCGAUUGACCAAGUGUGAUAAUUCUGAUCAACAAUCAAGCAAUGGAGAAACAAGAACAAGUUUUUGAUUUUCGUUUGGAUGUAAGUAGUAAGGAUUGGUGGAAUUCGUGGAAAAACCAGUGUAACUCUGGUAGACCAUUGAUGUAUGAGUCAAGAAAUUUUUUUUUUUUUUUUUUUUUUGAAAUAGAAGCUGAGUUCUACAAAGAAAAAAGUGACUGAGAAACAAUGGCUACCAGAGCUUUGAAAGCUCUGAUACCAUGUUAAUGGUGCAGUAAUCAUGUACAAGUUUCAUGAAGAUGAUGAAGAAAAUGAAGCAAGCUUUAAAAAAAAAGGAAUAGAUAACUUGUAAAGAGAUAAAUUUAUUAUUAAUUGAUUGGUUACACGUGGAAGUGGAAUACAAUAUCUAAUAUAUAGAUAAGUUAAUAAUUAUCAAACAAAUUAGUGUAACUAACGGUAUACGUGUAUAGAUAGGAUUGGCUAAAUAAUUCUCUCUCUGUUUCAUAAUGAGUGACCCAUUUGGAAUAAAAGAGUGUCAUAAAAUGAAUGACCAAUUUCAAUUUCCAAUACACAUUUUUUUAAUUUUACCCUCUAAUUAAUAUCACUUUCAUCAUUCUCAAUACUUGACAAUGACACUUUAGUAAAAAUAUUAUUCCUUCUUUCAUUUAUUCUUUUUUAUUCUUUUUUUAAUCGAUGUGAAAUGAUCAACUGAAUCACUCAUUGUAAAACGGAGAAAGUAAUAGUAUACUAAGACUCCAUUAUACUCGGUGAGCAUACAUAAAAAUGUGUUCCUUUAUUUCGACUAAUACUAUAACAAGAUGUCUGAAUUGCUAAGACAAUAUUAAACGGAGAAUAAUAUUUUCAUAUCUUUUCAUAUAAGAAUAAGAAUAUUCAUGUUAUUUAUUAAAUAUAUUUCCUUUUAUCAUUUUCUUUAAAAUUUUUUAUCCAAAUAACUCAUUUUUUCAAAUAAAUAUUCAAACUAACCUACUUUUUCAUUUAUUUUUCAAAAUAAUCCCUUUUUAAAUAAAAAGUAUUUUGACAUAAAAGAGAUGUCAACCCAAUUAACGCGUAUGUGUACAACAAAUAUAAGGAGACGUCAAUCCAAUUGACGAUAUUGUACAAACAUAUAGAAGAGAAAAUAUAUUUUUUCUCAUACAUAUUUAUACACGGUCGUAAAUUGAAUUGUUACAUACUCUUAUGUGUUUUUACACAUACGUCAAUUAAAUUUACGUCUCCUUAAAAAUGAAUUACUUUAAAAAAAAUAAAAUAAGUGUGAAGGUAAGUUAUUAUGAAUACUUAUUUGAAAAAAAAAAUUGUGAUAAAAAUUUCACUUUCUUUUCUAAACAACAUCAAAAUAAUAGCCGCACAACACGUGUAACAACCACAAUCUUCACCCUCCUCUCUCGUUCAUUCAUUCUUCCAAAAUCGUGGAACGCAGAAACAAAGGAAACUCCGAUUUUUAUUCUCCACAUUCCUUACACUGAACAACUUUACACCUGUUACUUCUUUUCCCUUUUGCAAUGCACUUCUCAAACAGAAAUUUCAAUUCCUCAUUCUAAUUCAUCAUCAUCAUCAUUGUAAUUUGUAUCAUCUUCGGAAUGGCGAGGAAAACCUAUUCCUCAUCCACAUUGCGUUAUGUUCAACCUCGUUAUUACCUAAAAAGACCUAAACGAUUUGCACUCAUCAUUCUCCUUUUCGUCUCUCUUGCAUGGUUUGUUUAUGAUCGCCAAUUGCUCAACAGAGAACACCAGGUAUCGCUAUUCAUCAAAUUCAUUUUUCAUUGAAUCCGAAAAUUAUCAUUUUUAAGCUGAUCAUGUAUUUUUGCUUCAGGAGGAUAUUUUGAGAUUAAAACACGAGGUUACACGCUUGCAAAAAACAGUAAGAUCCGAAAAUUACCAAAACUUAUUCAAUUUGACACUUUUUUGGUGGCUUGAUUUGAGUUAUAUUUGAAAUGGCAGCUGGAAGAUAUACAGGGUAAUAUGAAUGACUCAGGAGGAGAAAGUGUUCAAAAUGAUGAAAGUAUACAAAAGGAUGAAAGUAUCAAUAAAUCCAACAAGGAUGUUUUGGUUGAGGAUGAUGAUGAUCCUAUUAGUUUACAACGAAGAGAGAAAGUUAAAGAAGCUAUGCUUCAUGCAUGGUCAUCUUAUGAAAAGUAUGCAUGGGGCAAGGAUGAACUUAAGGUUUUCCACUACUUUAUAUUUUUGUUUAUCUAAUGUCUUAAGAGUCCCAUAUCGACAAUAUAUAUUAUAAGUUUGGCUCAACCACAUUUCCUUAACAUAAUGAUUAUGGUAUUUAAGAUCAUUCCAUUAUACAUAUCAUACAAGUUAGGAAAUGUUAAUGAUAUUUGUUAAAUCAGUUAUGAGUCAUAUGGCUAAUAUUGCUCUGUAAAUAGAUAUUACUUAAUGGAGUAUAUGAGUGAACACUAACUUUCUUACUAGCUGAGUUCAGUCAUGAUUCUUAUUUAGAUGAGUGCUGCAGCAUAGAGCAUAUGUUGUUUGUUUUUAAAUCUAGGACUUUCUUUUAAGCAAUAAUCCAUAGUAGGAAAUGGUGUUUCCACUUGUAUAUAUUUUGCUAUGUUCUUCUACAUUCUGACUCUUAAAUUCCCUCCUUGAUAAAAUCUGAAUUUGGCAACUAAUUAGCUUGCUAUUCCUCUCACAGCCACAAUCGAUGAAUGGUGUUGAUAGUUUUGGCGGUCUAGGGGCAACUUUAGUAGAUUCUCUCGACACAUUAUUUAUAAUGGGCCUUGAUACCCAAUUCAAAAGAGCUAGAGAGUGAGUUCUUCUUCUAUAUAGUUCCAGUUUCUAUAUUUUAGUUUGGUUACAUUUAAAGCAUCUAAAAUAAUAAAUAUUUCAGGUGGAUUGCAAAAUCAUUGUAUUUCAACAAGAAUAUCGAAGUUAGUGUGUUCGAGACAACCAUAAGGUUGAAUUAGAAGGUUCAAUCUUAUAUUUAUUGAAGUUAUUUCUCAACUGCCUGAUAGUUGCUGUAACUUUGUCAAUUGGAACAUAUGUUGCUUAUGCUUUGUAGUCCAUUUUCACUCAUCUCUCAAUUAUUUUGGUUAUAUUCAAUAUUCAGGGUUUUGGGUGGGCUUCUUAGUGCUUACGAUCUCUCUGGCGAUGAAGUCUUCCUAGAAAAGGCUAGAGAUAUUGCAGACAAGCUGCUGCCUGCUUGGAAUACACCUUCAGGAAUCCCUUAUAACAGAAUUAACUUGGCCUAUGGAAAUACAAAUAACCCUAGGUGGACCCGGGUAUGUUUGGACCUUACGAUGUACUGUUACUUUCCUAUAACUGGUUAUACAUAUUAGAACACUGUUUAAUAUCAGAAACCGUCUUUCCUAUCCGUGUUCUAUUGUGAAGGACUUAAACAUGGUGACUUGGAUACCCUUUAAUCUUUGUUUGAUGUUGUCCACCACUAAUAUUAAUUUCAUUGAUUGAUCAAUUGGUAAAAAUAUAAGAAGGCUGCUUUAUUUAUUGAUUACUUGGAGAUGUGCUGCAUAACAUGAUUUUUCUUCCAAAAACUUUUACAGUUUAUUUAUUUCCUUUAUUUGUACAAUUGUAUCUAGUUGAUUCUAGAAUAGGAGUUAUUUCCUUAUCCGGUGGUUGUUGGACAUUUCCCCCCUUAAUUCUAGAAUAGUAAUCAACAAGAUAUACAUGCUAUUAAGAAACACAACAUCCAUGGAAAUAAAGAGAAAAAUGACUAAACUUAGAUAUAAUUGAUUAAGAUUAAAUUGAUACAAACUGAGUAUUCUUAUAUGAGGUGAUUGCAUCCUAUAUAUAGGGAACCAAUUACCAACAAGCUACUCACUAAGUACCAAUUACUAAUAUCUCUAAUACCCUCUCGCAAGUUGGAAGGUGUUUACAACACUUUUGGUUUGGGAUGAGCCAAAAAAAGGUACAUCAAAUCAAAAGACGACAAAAAAAACAUACAAUGAGACAUGCCGGAAAUACAUUGGCUAAAAUCAAAGACAUAAGGCAAAAACUUAACCAUAAAGCAAAAGCUACAAUUCAAAGGCUUAACCACUUGGAGGAAACAACAAUAAAAAACUUAACCAUCAAGAAGAAGUUACAACUCAAGGCUUCACCUUGGAAGAAGCUACAACACACUUAACCACCAUUAGACAUAAGCCAACUAUUCGAGUUUGACCUAACUUAUCCUUAUAAAACCGGCUUGUAGGGUGAGGUUUGCCCUCACAUAUAAAUACAUGUUCAUGUCAUAUAUUGUCCAAUGUGAGACUCUUAACAUCCCCCCUCACGCCUAGGACUGGACAUCUGGAGCAUGGAAAUAAAAUGGUGGGUGAUUCAAUAUAGCGGAAACCCGAUAGCAAGUGGCCCACCGGUUCUUAAACCCGAGUCUGAUUCCAUAUUAGAGUUUGACCUAACUCAUCCUUACAAAAUCGGUUUGUAGGGUGAUGUUUGCCCUCAUUUAUAAACACAUGUUUAUGCUAUAUAUUGUCCGAUGUGGGACUCUUAACACCAACAAUAAAAUCAAUUAAGGCACCAAGUUUAACCAUAAAGAAGACUGAACUACUCAAGACAUAAGCAAGAUAUACCAAUGUUUAACCAUUCAUGUCAGAAUCAUCAUACUCAAUCAACACGAACAGAAGCUAAAAUCAUGCAUGCAAGUAAGGCUAACCAUCAACAAAAACAAAAAGAAACAAUCCAAAUCAUGUUGUGUACCGGAAGCUUCAUUAAAUACCACUGGAGAAUACUUGACCAUAUUAUGACCGCACAUUGUGAUAAGCAAUCAGAUACCGAAAACCGUCCAGCAAUGUGAAACUCCAUGCGUUAGUUGAUAAUACCCAAGUCCCCACUAUAGUAAUAAUAUAAACUUUUAACAUUCACUAUUUCUGUUGAGUUUGUAGCCUGUCUAUUUUAUAUGUUUUCUUGCACAAAUUUAUCUGAUUUUUAUUUAAUUCAAAAAAAUUAAUGAACCUUAUUUUCAACUAUUCCCAUUUUUUUUUGACAAUAACUAUUUGCAUCUGUUUAUUAUUCGAAAUGCGUUGCAGGAAUAGUGUAUAAGGAAACUAGGAAUAUUUUCUUAGUUGUUGUGUGUUUUAUAUUCUGAAUAAUUUGUUCUCCGAUACUAGGGGAACAGUAUUCUUGCAGAUUCUGGUUCAGAGCAGCUUGAAUUUAUUGCUCUCUCUCAAAGGACAAACGAUCCCAAGUACCAGGAAACGGUAAUCUUUUUCUGUUUCUUAUGGGUUUCCAGAAUAUUUAUAUACUUUUCGCUUUUCGCAAUCAUUAGUUUCAACAUUGUGAAUCUCUUCUUUUGAGGUGAACUGAGCCCACAUACUCUUGUUUUCAAAAUUUUCUCACCCCAAGUGUACUGAUUUUGAGAAUGUUGUGACUGUGAAAGAGUGUUGAAGUUUAUUCCUUAUGUCAAUUUUGAGGUAUUUGCCUUCUGAUGUUUCAGGCUGAGAAGGUCAUCAAAGAGCUUCGCAGAAGCUUUCCUGAGGAUGGGCUGCUUCCCAUAUAUCUUAAUCCACUAACUGGAACUAAAUCAGCUGGAGCAAUUACAUUUGGUGCUAUGGGUGAUAGGUGAUAAAUCUGAUAACAUCAUAUAUUACUCUCAUUUCACGACCUUAUCUUACAGUUGUUGGCCAAUUUGGUUGAGGUUGUUAGCUAUAUCUUCAAAGAAAACUUAGCUGCAACUUUAAGCUAUAUUUUGUUUAACUUAAUAACAAGCCUUAUGGAGUUUUUAAGAUAGAGAUGGGUUGUCGACCAUCUAUGAUGAAUGGAACAGUGUGAUUAUAAACUGAAUUUGAUAUAGAACUUCAUUAUUUAAGUCAGUUGCCCACAUUUGUACAUUAUGAUUACCAGGAGUAUGGAAUAAACUGGUGUUGUUUUGGUGUUUAGCGUUUGCAAAGGUUCACGGUCUUUAAUAGGUCGACGUGCACUUUAGUGAUGAUGAUUCUUCUGUGAACAGAGAUGUUUCCGUGCAUGCAUAUGAUAAAAGUUUCCAUGAAUGCAUAUUUUUCUUAGGAAAAAGAUGGCCAACUAAUGACAUAAUUGAUUAUUCAACUCAACUAAUUAUUGUCUUCUGUUGAAUGGUACUAACAGUGCAACAAUAUGUUGAAAGUAAAUGUAAACUAGCUUUGCUAGAUUCUAGUCACUUCAUUCUUCACAUAAUUAAUAGGAUGCGAUGACUGUGUUGCAGCUUCUACGAGUAUCUGCUCAAGGCAUGGAUACAAGGAAACAAGACUGAAACGGUACAGUUUUACAGGUAACAAACUUGAAAUGUCUGCUGUCCUUUGAAAAUUGCAUAUUUUGUUGUUUCUGCAUGGUAAAAAAGUUAUUGAUCCAGCUAUCCUGCCUCUUGCCAAUGCAUCUGACUCCGUCUCUCACUGAUGCACCAUUAACAUAUUUGUUUGCCAUAAGUUUAUGGAAGAAGCUAAAGUAUAUAGGGCCCACACCCAAAGUUUUGAAUUUACAACUAUUUUUAUAAUUAUCAGAAUUUAAUUCUUCUAUUUUUCGAGCUCUCCACUGUAUACUCUACAAAACACCCGAUGUUUGACUAAGAUUUCUUCACUGUCUGUUAUACUCAUUGCAUGUAUUAUCUGUUUAGUCUAAAUAUGUUACAAUCAUCUGGCCCACCUUUUUUUUGUCCUUUAUUCCGUUAUAGAAAUUUCAACUUAGAAAAUAAGCCUACAUUUGGAUCCCCAUAUAUUUAAAUGUGCGAGAAAAUGCCUAUCCAGGGAAAUGUGGGAGACAUCAAUGAAAGGUCUGCAAAGCUUGAUUAAGAAGUCAACACCAUCAUCUUUUGUGUAUAUAUCUGAAAAGCUUGGAAAUGCACUCUUGGACAAGGUGUUAUUUGGAAUGGACAUUUAUCUAAUUUAGAUUGACAUCUUCUGAAAAAAAUUGUUUGAUCUUUUUAUCACUUUUUCAGAUGGAUGAAUUAGCAUGUUUUGUUCCUGGAAUGCUGGCUUUGGGAUCUUCUGGCUAUGGCCCUGGAGAAGGCGGAAAAAUCAUGUCUCUCGCAGAGGAGGUAAUACUUAAGAAGUAUUUGUGAAAUUCGUCACUCAAUUUGUCUAAAAAGCUUCAACCAGUUCAAAUUGUUCAUGCCGUGGUGAUCUUUUUGUAACGGGAAAGAAAAGAAUAAAAUAUGCAUAUACAUAAAUAAGAAGCUUUUGGAAGAGAAAAUGCCUCAUGAAAGGUGCUGUAACUCCUGAGUUUUUCCUAGUGCCCUAGCAUUAUUGUUGAAGAAUUCCAAAUGAUCAAUUCUCUUAAAACACUUAAACUGUCCAGUGGAAUAGUUAUAAUUCUAAAACAACAAUUGCUGAAUUAAUUAAUCAUAAUAUCCAUUACUCUUAAUAUUUUAAUUUAUAGUCGAUUGCUGGCUUAUCCAGUAAGCUAGCUGAAACUUGCCUCAAGUUCUUGGCAUAUUUAAUGCUAGGAGUAGUUUUGUUUGGUGACAUGUAGUUCUGGAUAUUUUUAAUGCCAAGGUGCUUUUGCUACAUAUAUUUUAUUUUAGACUCUGUUACACUUUGUAUUUUUAUUAAGAUUGACAUAAUUUUUUCUCAAUAAUUGCUUGCUUGAAUUUAAUCCCCAUUUAUUUUUGCCUUUUGCCCUAGGAAUUGGAACCAUCAUUCGGAUUUCCAAACAGAAUAAAGAGAUAGAUUGCAUCGAAAAGCAAGACCCUAACUUCUCAAUCUGAAUAUACUACAAUGCAUCCAAAGUCUAGAUAUAAUUGAACAUUUAUUAGUUAAUUUUUUCUAAGAAAUUUUUAGUAACAAGUGUUAGUUUGUGCUAAAAAUUUAUUGAGUGCUAAUUUAUCCCACAUUACUCUUGCUUUUUACCAAGCAAUUGGAACCAUCAUUCGGAUUUCAAAACAAAAUAAAAAAUAGAUUGCAUCCAGAAGCUAGACUGUAACUUUUUUUUCUGGCCAUACUGCAAAUCAUUUGAGGUUUUAGAUUUAAUUGAACAGUUGUUAGUUAGUUUUUACUAAGGAAGAAUAGUUUUUUGUGACAAGUGCUGAUUUGUGCCAGAAAUUUGUUGGUUUCGAUUGCCAUUUUUCUUUGAAACCUCUACUGAAUUCUGUUGCAUCUAAUUGUGCAGCUUGCAUGGACCUGCUACAAUUUUUACGAGUCUACGCCAACUAAAUUAGCUGGGGAGAACUAUUUCUUUCGCAGUGGAGAGGUUUGGAUCUUUCGUUCUCACAUUGUUCUUCAAAUCCCCUUAGAUGUUAUGUGCUAAGCUAAAGAUAAUUGUAGGAUAUGAAUGUUGGCACCUCAUGGAAUAUCCAAAGACCUGAAACAAUUGAGUCGCUGUUCUACCUCUGGCGUUUCACUAGAAACAAGACAUACCAAGAAUGGGGUUGGAAUAUUUUCCAAGCAUUUGAAAACAACUCUCGCACUGAGGCAGGGUACGUUGGACUCAAAGAUGUAAGAAAUUCUUAAAGCCCUUCACUUUUUCUCCAAAAUGUUUUUCUUUCUUAUUCAUGUUUUGUUGCAAGCUUGUUUGGCAUGCAUAACCGGGUUGCCAAAAUGUGCUAAUUAUCUCCGAGAGGAAAAUCAUGCAGAAAUUGGUUGCAUGAGAUGAUAAAGUGAUGUAUGUUCUAUUCAGAACAGACUUGGUUCACAGAUUCUUUUUUCUUUCUUUACGAGGAAGAUUUUCAUAUAUGCUUUAUAAAAGAUUAUGGUUUUCCUUUUCUAAUUUGUGAACCAAGGAACAUCACUAACCCUUGGUUGAAUACCCAGGUGAAUACAGGUGACAAAGAUAAUAUGAUGCAGAGCUUCUUCCUUGCAGAAACCCUCAAGUAUCUCUAUCUUUUGUUUUCACCACCUUCAGUUAUCUCUCUUGAUGAAUGGGUGUUCAACACCGAGGCACACCCUUUAAGAAUUGUGACAAGAAAUGAUCAUCAAGAAAAACCGAAUAUGAACCAAGAAGAAAGAAUUCCUCAUCACUUGCAUGGUAGGAAAGAAGGUCGAGUUGAUUACAAGUAGUUACGGGUUGUUGCUCUAUGAUUGUAAUAAGUAAACCCCGAAGGUAUGCGUGACUUCCUUACUCUCAAAUAUCUAGGACUUAUUGGUGCUGCUUGACAGCAGUUGCCACGGUCUUGCAUUAGGGUGACCCACCAUUUUUUAUUGAUGCUUGCAGAGGGGCAACUUAUCCUGCUCUAUCAACACACAGUUGGUUUGUCUGUCACCUCCAAUCCGAAGUUUUGCUGUAAAGAAUGUCUAGAAGAUUCUUUCCUUGCUGUAGUAGUAGGAAUACUAGGAUAAAUGUAGGUGUAAAUGCCUAUGUAGAUACUGAAACCUCUCUACUUAUUAUUUUGAUUAUUUUUGGCAUAUGUAAAUUCUUGUAUAUCAAUGACUGACCACUGAUAGGAACGUGGCACAGCAUGAGAUAUCAGUUUUGGAACUUUUUGAUUCUCUGGUUCUUCCAGUUCAAAGAUCAGGCGAGCUUGAGUUUCUGUAUUAGAACCUCCUGAUAUCAAUGUUCUAGAAAUGUAACUUAAGAUUGUUGAGUAGCACUGCGUAUGAAAAUGAUAAUUCUUGCUAGUUCAGUUGAUUCUUUGACCAUGCUGCCUGCAAAUAUGGUUCCUGAGGCUUGUUCUUGAUGUGGUUCAACUGAGUCUCGUGACAGUUUACGAGUGGUUUAUUGGUCUAUUGCUAUCUAAAUAUAAAUUAUAUAACCAUCAGGUCGAGUGAGCUUAAAAAUGAUAUGAAUAAUAAACAGAAAUGAAAUCCAGAAAUGAUGUUUUGAAAUUUCUCUUCAUUUAAUAUUUUAAUUAAACAAUAACGGCAAAACAUAAUAAGUUAAUUAUGAUUUUUUUUAAAACUAAAAUAUUUAGUAGAAAAAUAUAUUUAGGGUCAAUUUUUUUACUUUGAUUGUUACCCUUUUGCUUGGUCAGAAUUAGGCUGAAUAUGAGUUGGUGUGCAUAUAAGAUUUUCAUGAAGAUUGGCUCAAUAUGUGCUUGAGCCUAUCCAAUUGCAAGUGGUGAGUCUUAGCGCUUGUUUGGAUUGACGGUGAGUUUGGCGGAAGCACGUCGUAUGUUAUUAAAGGAAUUUUCUUUAAACUCAUGGCUGUUAUUUUUCAAAAUGUAACAUUGAUUACGAUUGUUCUAUGCUCAAUGAUUUAUAGUUGUAGAUUUUGGAAUUGGAUAUUGGGAUAAACUGAUUGUUUUGUUGAAAGUCUUAAUUAUCUGUUCUGAAAAUGCUGUAUUUGAUGUUCACUGACUGAAUCAGAAGUGAAGAAUGGCACAAUAGUUGAAUAGUUUUCUGUAAAUUAUCCAAAUGAAACAACUUUCAAUUUAUUCACAAAACUUCCUUGUUUAUGGAGAUUGAUUCAGCUUAUCAUAUCUUAACUAUGCUGUUUUGCAUGUUCCAUUCACUUGUUAGAUGUCAUGUCGUAGUGUUUUUUCAAGAAUUCGGUCCCAGCGAAUAUUGAAAAUUAUAUCCUCAAAUUUAUCUUUUCUAUAGGUAUGUACUAUUCCUCUGGAUACGGCCAAAGUUAGACUUCAAAACAAUUCUUAAACCUGUAGCAAUUUUUCAUUAUCAAGAGGUGCUGUAGCAAUUUCAGUAGCAAUUUCAAGCAGAAGGAAAAUUGCCUCCUAGCUUCUGGUGUGCCAAGGUGCUACGCUGGAUCAUUGAAUGGUUAUUCAUCAAAUGUGAAACAGGUCUUUUCCUUUAACGUUAUAUGAUUUGUGAAAGAUAAAGAUGAUUUUAGUCCUUCUUUAUGUUCCAAACUCAUAAUUAGUCUUGUUUAAUUUUUAUCAAACAAACAGGAGGGAGUCAGAGCACUUUGGGCUGGCAUUGGCCCCAACUUCGCAAGAAAUGCUAUCAUUAAUGCUGCUGAGCUAGCCAUCUAUGAUCAAGUGAAAGAGGUAAUGUAAAAGAUACUAAACUGCAUUUUCGAGUAAAAUUUGUUAUUAUACAUCUUUUGUAAUUUUAAUCUUUUUUUUCCUCUACUGCAGACCUUUUGAAAAUUCCAGGAUUCACUGAUAAAACUGCUCAAUUUCGUUUCUAUGUUGCAUAGUAUGUUUUUUCUUCUUCUUUGCAUGACUCUUUAAUAGAAGAAAGGUUAAAACCGAGACCAAUGAUUUGCUUUCGUUUUCACAUAGAUUGUAUCUGUAUUUUGUGUGAUUUUAUCAACGGCAUCGAUUGAUAUUUGUAAAUAUUUAUGUAUAGAAUAAUCUCACAUCGACUAUAUCAUGUAAUUAGUUGUAAUUUCUCUUUAUAUGAUAAAGUCUCUGUAAUGCUUUUAAAAAAACACACGGUUUAUUCAAAUGCCUCUUAGUCUCUUGCACUUCAACAUGGUAUCCAUGUGAAGAACUAACCGGAAUAGCCAACUACAACAUAUGAGUUGGUGUUGUCAGGAUGUGGUUUCACGGUCAAGGGUUUGAAGAUCACCUAACCACAACAUUGGAUGUUGUUGCCGCCGAUAAACUCACUAAAUGGAAACAAAUUGAUGUAAAUGGAAACAAAUUGAUGCCUAUCUAUGCACUGUGUUAUGGUAUUCCAUAUAACCUAAUCUUCAAGCACAUUAUCAAUCCUUCACCACUUGCUAUAAGGUAUGAGAAAAAGCUAAGAAAGUCUUCUCCAACGAUGUUCAUUGUCUAUACAGUGUCAUCCUCAAACUCAACUAUCUGAAGUUUGAGAAUAUAGAUAUGCAAGCCAAUCUAAGUAAGUUGGACGCCUUGAAAACAAAUUACACAACCCUAAUGCCUUACGUAAAAGAUACAACAACUCAUGCCGAACAAUAAAGUAAGUUUUUCAUGAUCAUGACACUUAUCAAACUACCAUCAGAAUUCGAGUUCGUUCGUAACCAGAUUUUAUUCAGUACUACUAUUCCUAACUAUGACACAGUUAGUGAACAACUGUUGCGCUUGACUAUACCUCAUGCUUUUGGUCCGGUCUCUCAUCCAUCUAUUGUUGCCCCGACACCAGGUGACACAUAUGCCCUUGCGUCCCUUGGCAAUAAUCAAAAUCACUUUCAAGAAGGGCCAUCUAACUCCAAACCUCGUCCCAAGCGUGACCAUUGUAACCGACUUGGGCAUACUAUUGGCCGUUGCUGGAAGUUUCAUGGAAAACCUCCACGCCAGGUGAAUACAGCUCAAAUCGAUCAUUCAGACACUCUGCAGACCCCACCUUCUCUUCAGAGCUCUACACCAAGCUACAAUGGUUUUGUUAGGUGGUGUCAGACUAAUCAGAACACUAGCUCAACGUCUUCGGUUGGACACACUGAUAAUUCAUCUAUUUGCUUCUCUCAAUCAUCUCCUCUUGGCCCUUGAGUCCUUGAUUCUGGUUCAUCUGAUCAUGUUAUCGGUAAUAAAGGUUUUAUUGAAGAUAAUAGGUAAAAAUCUGUUAUGUUUUAUUCAUCAACCUCAGGCUGAUUUAUAUAGUGGAUAUACACAGUUAUUACACUUUAUUAUCUCCUUAAUGGAGAAUAAAGAAAAAUAAAACGAGUAUUAAAGAAAACAAUAAAAACGGAAAUAAGAUACUUUCCGACACCCCCCUCAAAUUGGUGCAUAAAUAUCUAUCAUGUCCAACUUGUCUAUCAAAUGCUCAAAGGUAGGUCUUGCCAAACUUUUGGUUAGGAUACCCGUUUGCUGACUUGAAGUCACGAAAGAUAGACAUAUGAUUCCAGCAUCUAGCUUCUCCUUUAUGAAGUGUCGAUCAAUCUCAAUAUGUUUGGUUCUGUCAUAUUGAACUGGGUUAUGAGCUAUGGUAAUAACAACUUUACUGUCUGAUUACAAUUUUAAUGGAAGCUCAAUUUUCAUCUUAAGUUCUUCUAGGACUCUAAGGUUCCAUAAUCCUCCACAAAUACCUUGAGACAUAACUCUAAAACCGACUUCAGGGGGAUAUUUCCUUUUUAUUUUUAUUUUUUAUUUUUAAUACUUUCAGCCCAUUUUUAGUGUUUUCUAUCCACACCCCACUUUUGUUUUUGUUUUUUCUGCAUUAAUAAUGAAACCAAUUUGUCCUGAACAUGUUUUAAUGUUAUUUUGUUUAAACCUAACACUAUUUUCUUUUAGACAUACAUUCUCAUGCAUAAUAACACUUACUAUUUUAAUUUUUUAAAGAUAGUUUCCUCACUAUUUUUAGGAUAUCUUUCUAGAAUAAUUUUUAGAUAAUAAUCUUAGAAAUAUCCUUUUCAUUUGUUUUAGUUCGAUAUGGUUGUAUUGCGUGCUAAUUUCUUUAGUAUAUUUUACACGCAUUUUUGGUUAUUUUUACUUUGUAUGGUUGCAUGAUUUAUUUCCUUGCAUUGUAUGGUGUAUGAUUGUAUGGAUUUAAUUCUUGUAUGAUUUAUGAUCCAUCCCCCAUUAUGGGUAAAAUAUCCCCUGAUCCCAUGAACGUGUAAUAGUUUAGCUUUAUCGCUUUCCUUUAUGCGCCAUUAACUUAACAUAACCAAAAAUAAAUAAAAAUAACCUCUUUCAAAAGACAAAAUAAACUUGAUCCAACGUCAAGUGUUUUCAAAAUCAAACUCAAUUGAACACCACGCGAAUGCUUGGUCAAACACCAAGUAUCUUUUUCACUUACUCUACACAAUUGACAAACAUUCUAAACACUUGAUCCAACGUCAAGUCAUUUUCAAAAUAUUUUUACAAUAAAUUGGAUGAAAAGGAUGAUGUGUAUGUAAUUGUACACACCAUUUCUCAAGUACUUGGAUUUUCGACUGUACCUAGCUUGUUGUCCAAUACAUGUCGUCCAUUCAAAACACUAUAAAUAAACGAGUUUAAUUUGGGCCUCUUAGGGAGAAAAUAGUGGUUAGAAUGCAACUGUCCUCUCAACUCCCAAGUAUUCUGGAUUGUCGGUCGUACUUAGCAUGUGGUUAAAUGCUUGUCUCCCUCUAAGUACCAACGAUUAAACUCGCCUCACAAACUUCAUAAAUAAAACUUUUGGGAUGAAAAAGAGAGGUCAGGAUGCACUUGUCCUUUCAUCUCCUGAGUACUUGGAUUUCCGGUCGUAAAGGUGGAUAGAUGAUCGCAUAAGCAUACUUUCUCAAAGAGAACUCUUCUAAAGUCUCUCCUUCCAAAGUGAGGCUCCCAUGGAGUAACUUUGGGUAGUAUCCAUUGAUUUUGAAAAUUUUAUCAGUGUCUUCGCUUUUUAUUUCAGGAUCAAAGAACAUUAUUCUAAAGGUAAAAGUGUCAAAUGGGCAAGUGAAAGCGGUCUUCUCUUUAUCCUCUAGUGCAAUAUAGAUCUUGUUUUUUAUAACAUCCAAAAUCAAAGGGUUAGGCUGCCUUUGGGGCUGCCUCACUACUUUUGCUCAAUCUUCAAGUAAUAUUUUAUGCAUACACAUGGACGAUCUAAUAUCAGGAAUGUCAGUCACGGUCCAUCAAAUUCCCUUCUUAUGUUUCUGCAAUAACGGUAACAACUUUUGUUCCUAUUCAGAUUCAAGCUUAGAUGAAAUUAUUACAAACAAAUUUUCAUUAAAUUCUAAAAAUACAAGGAGUGACUUUAUCUCUAAAGCAGGUGGUAGCUCAAUGGAUGAAUUUUUUUUGGCAGCAAGAGCUACAUUUACAUCUGCAACAUCAACUUUGUCAGUAGAAAUCUCAUAAGAAAUAUUAGAAGAAAUAUCACCAUAUAAAUCAGCUUCAAUUUCAGUACAAACUGAACAUAAGUGAGUAUCAGUACAAACAUCACAAAUAUAGAUGUCAUCAAAAUCAGAUAAAGAAGGAAAAUCAACAAAAAGUGAGUCAGAUGCAUCAAGUUCUCUUAAGAUUUUUUGCUCAGCCAUGUUAUAAUUAUCAAAUUAACACAUAAUUAAAUAAAAUCACUGUCACUAAUAAGAAUCAAAUCUGAAUCAAAUCAACACCGAAUCAAAUAAAAUCACUAUCAAAUAUGACUAAUAAAAUCUAAUGAAAAAACAAUUAAAAUAAAAUCUAAAAUUAUGACUAAAAAUCAUAUAAAAUAAAAUAAUGAAUAUACAAUUUGUUUUGAAAAUAUGAAAAUAGAAAAUAAACCAAAUAAAAUAGGAAAACAAAGAAUUUGCGAUCUUGAGGGUUAAAAUCACUUAAAAAUAUCUUUUAAGAGAAUACAGUUUGUUGUAUUAUUUCUGAAUUUAUGGAAAAAAUUAGGAGCAAUUCGAAAUAGUAGCUUACAGACUCACCUGAUAGGCUGAGAUACUUACCAUUAUAUUGCAAUCCUGAAAAUCAAUAAAAAACAAAAACAAAUAAACAAAAAAAUUUGCGAACAAUUCUCUAAA
Molecule: long non-coding RNA, 72413 nt
Filed under: Lathyrus oleraceus (garden pea)
Lineage: Eukaryota; Viridiplantae; Streptophyta; Magnoliopsida; Fabales; Fabaceae
Description: Pisum sativum (pea) long non-coding RNA (PSAT_LNC038269)
Source: RNAcentral